UGGAGGCCAAGGAUCGGGGAUUGUUCGAUUUCUUAAAGAAGAAGGAUGAAGACGAGAGGCCUCAAGAGGAGGUGAUCGUCACUGAGUUCGAGAAGGUUCAGGUCUCUGAACCCGAGCCCAAGAUCGAGGAGCCCCUAAGGAAGAAGAGGAGAAGAAGCAUUCUCUCUUAGAGAAGCUUCACCGAUCUGACAGCAGCUCCAGCUCCGUAAGUUCCAUUUAUAUAUUUUCUAUGUUGUAGUUAUAUUAUAAUAUUGGAAGAUUUUUUAAAUCAGCAUGACUCUGCUUGCGGUGUCACGGAAACUUUAAGUGUUCAUAGUCGCGAUCCGUAGAAUUAAUGUAUUAGCGGUUGAUCUGAGACCUUGUACGAUUAAUUGAAUGGUAAGUACGCUUCUAAUGGCUUUCCAAAUUUUGCAGUCCAGCGAUGAGGAAGAAGGUGAAGGAGAGGAGAAGAAGAAAAAAAAGAAGAAGGGUCUGAAAGAGAAGAUCAAGGAAAAGAUCUCAGGAGAAAAGGAAGAAGAGAAGAAAGAAGAGGACACCACAAUCCCUGUUGAGAAAGUUGAGGAGCCCGCUGCCCAUCCUGAAGAGAAGAAAGGAUUCCUUGAGAAGAUCAAGGAAAAACUUCCAGGCCAGCACAAGAAAUCUGAAGAGCCGGCCUCCCCUCCUCCUCCGGCAGAGAGUGCAGCCCCCGAGCCUGAGAAGAAGGGCAUCUUAGAGAAACUCAAGGAGAAGCUUCCUGGGUAUCACUCCAAGACUGAGGAAGCUGACAAGGAGAAGAAAGAGACGUCAGAUUAAGAAUUACAAGAUCUCAUGUUACUUUUUGAGUUAUGAUCGUUGUGUGGUUUAUUUAGUGUUCAAUUUUUUUUUUUUUUUUUUUCUGUUUCCUUCCUUGUGGGAUUUUCAGGUUCAUAUAUAAGCAUUAUAUACAGAGAUGCUUGAUAUACGUGCUUAUAUAUAGGCUUGUUUACUGAAUUACUAUGCAUGUUUUGGGGGAAGAAGGUCAAUCAUCCUCUGCUUCUAUGAUUCGAAAAGUGUUAUCAAGAGAUUUCUUUGCUUGUAAAUCUGAAGCUAUGAUUUCUAACUUCAUGCUUUCUUUCUUCAGCCUGCGAGUGAUUAUACUUUCUGGCCCCAUAUCGACCCUCUCUGUUGACACUCGAUUAGGGGCGAAUGUUCAUGAUUUUGAUUUAUUAACAAUAAAAUAAUUUGUGAUUUAUAUAAUCAUUACAAAAAAUAUUUAUUAUUAUAUAUUAUUAAUUAGAAUAAUAAUUUGUUUUUCAGGUCUCAAAUCAAUUUUAAAAAAGUUAGGUUCGAUUAUUUGGAUAAUAAUAUAUUCAUUUAAAAUAUCAUUAUAAACUACUUAAUUAUGAUUUUUUUAUAAUAAUAGAUUCCAUUAUAAACAUAUUACUAAAUUAUUUUAACUUAUAUAUUAUUCUAUAUUAAUUAUGAUUAUUUAAAUAAUAAUAAUUAUCGUAAUAAAAAAUUAAUAACAUAUUCUGCAUAUUCUGAUUCAAACAUAUUCUGCAAGAUUAAAUUUGAAUAUGAUUUAAUUAGAAACUUAUAUUUUAAUGAUUAAAUAUAUUCGCUAAUAACUUUAUGAGUGUGAUUAACAAAAAAUUUAAUUAAAUUAAAAUUUAAAUUGUGUAAUAGUAUCUUUUUAAUAUAAUAUAUAAUUAGGUGUGAUAAUUUUAAAAUUACGUGAAAUAAAUAAUAAUAAUAAUAAUAAAGUAAAUAUCGCAUAUACUUAAUUGGCCACUUAAGCAUAUAAUAUAUGAUUGGAUGUGAUAACUUUAAAAUUACGUAAAAUAAAUAAUAAUAAUAAAGUAAAUAUCGCAUAUGCUUGAUUGGCCGCUUAAGCAACAUAAUAACACAUGCCAAUCGAUAAAAGCACGCCUUGUCAACCUUCACAUUCGCGGAGCAAACUAAGAAUAUCUCAUCUCAUUGGCAACCCAACAAAAAUCCUUCUCAUAUUUUCUUAAAUAUUUUACACAACAAUGCAAUUUCGAUUCUCUUCACCACUAAAUACUAAGAAAUCAUUGUCUAGUAAAAUCCAACAAUGAGUAUCUACUUUUUUAAGUCUAUGAACCAACUCCAUAUAUGCUAUAUAUAUAUGUAUGUUAUAUGGGCUAGAUGAAAUGGUGUGACUAAGCAAAAAUGUGGAGAAGUGGCGUGCUUAUAGCUUUUGGGUUUAUAGUUGGUCUGAUUAUAAGAUUCACAAAUGGAGAGCACUUGAUUGGAUUGGGAAGCUAUGAUAUGACUGGUCCAGCCGCUGGGGUAAACAUGAUGGGUUAUGCCAAUAUGGAACAGGUCACCGCCGGUGUCCAUUUCCGGCUUAGAGCCAGGACUUUCAUUGUGGUCGACGGCAUCCAAGGUCCUAGAUUUGCUUUUGUUAACCUUGAUGCUGGCAUGGCUUCACAGCUUGUCACAAUUAAAGUGCUUGAGAAACUCAAAUCAAGGUACAACUACAAUACAAAUAAAUAGUCAGAACUAGCUAACUCAUCUUAUUAUUACUUGGGUUUUUUUUGAAAAAAAAAAAAAAAAUUAAUAGGCCAUGUUUAUGGAAUCUUGUAUUUGAAAAUUAAUUGAAGGUAUGGGAAUUUGUAUACUGAGAAAAAUGUGGCUAUAAGCGGCAUCCACACUCAUGCUGGUCCUGGAGGUUACUUGCAGUACUUGGUUUAUUCUAUAACCUCUCUUGGCUUUGUCAAACAAUCAUUUGAUGCAAUUGUGACGGCUAUUGAGCAGAGUAUUAUUCAGGCUCAUAACAAUCUCAAGCCCGGUUCAGUUUUCAUCAACUCAGGUAUGAUUUAAUUCCGAUAUCUAUUGGGUUUCUUCUUCGUUUUUCUGGCGCUGUCAUGUUAUAGUAAUCUGCAGGGGAUGUGGAAAAUGCGGGGAUAAACAGGAGUCCCAGUGCGUAUCUCCUUAACCCAGCAGAAGAAAGAGCGAGAUAUAAAUUCAAUGUGGAUAAAGAAAUGACCCUUUUGAAAUUUGUCGAUGGUGCAACCCAGAAGAGUAUAGGAGCUUUUAGUUGGUAUGCAACGCAUGGGACCUCCAUGAGCAGAGACAACAAGCUUAUCAGUGGAGACAAUAAGGGUGCAGCUGCUAGAUUCUUCGAGGACUGGUUUGCUUCCAUCACCAACUCUGCAUCUCCACCAGUCGGUGACGCAUCUGCUCAAGGUUAGUUAUCGAUCAGAAACAGAGUUAAUUGGGAGCUUAAUAAAAUUUUAGUCUCUACUCAUUUUAUUGUGUCUAUCACACAUGGGAAUGUUGAUAGAGAAAGCGAAAGCAAUCAAAGCAACAGGAGGACAACCGUGUGGUAAAACUACAAGCCAAAGCUUUAAGGUGAGAAAGAAUGGCGAAGGGUCAAGAUUUGUAGGAGCAUUUUGCCAAUCAAAUGUUGGAGAUGUAACACCAAAUGUGCUCGGAGCAUUUUGCACAGAUAGCGGGAAACCCUGUGAUUUUAAUCACUCUUCCUGUCAUGGCAAUGACCAGCUUUGCGUUGGCCGAGGACCUGGGUAUUUAUAGUCAUUCCACACAGAACUUUUGUCAAACACAUAACGGGUUUUGCUACGUUAAUUGGAUCAUGAUCUUUCUUUUGACAGAUACCCAGAUGAAAUAUUGAGCACAAAAAUCAUUGGGGAGAGGCAAUUUCAAAAGGCUGUUGAUUUAUUCAACUCUGCUACUAAGGAAUUGAGCGGCAAAAUCGAUUUUCGCCAUGUAUAUCUAAACUUCACCGAUAUUGAAGUGGAUAAAGAUGGAAAUACCAAAGCCAAGACUUGUCCUGCAGCUCUUGGUCCAGGUUUCGCCGCCGGGACUACUGAUGGGCCUGGUGCCUUCGGGUUUCAACAAGGCGACACAGAGGUGAAUACCAAAUUUCAUUCCUCGUAGACCCAUUUGCUUAAUUUUUUGAAAAUACUAAUACGUUUAUAUGACUUCAAGAUCAAUGAGCUAUGGAGAAAAGUGAGGGACUUGUUGAAAGAACCCAGCCAAUAUCAAGUGGACUGCCAAAAGCCCAAGACCGUUUUGCUUGACACUGGCGAAAUGUUUGUUCCUUACGCAUGGGCGGUAAGGAAUGCUACAAAAACUUCUCCAAAACAAGAUUAUCUUUUAAUUUCUAACUGAAAUCUAUGUUGAUGCAGCCAGCAGUUCUUCCAAUCCAGAUACUGAGGCUGGGAAAACUGAUCAUAUUGUGUGUCCCAGGAGGUUUUCUUUCUUUUCUCCCUUAUAAUAAAUUGAUUUCCCAUUCUGAUAAUUUCUUAUAUACAUAAAAACAAUUCAUUUUCUCAGUUCAUUAACAAAUCAAAUCCUCAAUACACAGAAGAAUGUUAAUCCAUGCAUGAUAGUAAUAUGUAACAUUAGUUGCAUGUUUUUGUGACUACCAAGCUCUAAAAGAAUGGGUUUGUUGAGACUUGCAGAGUUUACAACAAUGGCUGGUCGGAGACUGAGGGACGCAGUUAAGCAGACACUGAUCAGUAAUGGAGAAGGAGAAUUUGAUGAUGAGACUCGCGUUGUAAUAGCUGGCCUUACAAACACUUAUUCACAGUAUAUAGCCACUGUUGAAGAAUACACACAACAGAGAUACGAGGUAAUUAAAACAUGCAUCAUACUACAAUCCCCAUUAAAAACAAGAAGUUUUAAACUGUUGGUAGUUAAAAAUCACAAUAAAUUUUGCAGGCUGCUUCAACACUCUAUGGACCACAUACACUAUCUGCAUACAUUCAAGAAUUUAGUAAACUAGCAAAAGCAAUGGCACAAGGAACCACCAUUGAAACAGGCAUCUCGCCACCCGACCUUUCAUCAGUCCAACUGAGCCUCUUACCUGAACCCUCUGGAGACUCACCUCCACCGGGCAAAAAAUUUGGUGACAUCAAACAAGAUGUGAGUUCUGGUUCGUUCAAGAAAGGAGACAUAGUAAGCGCUACAUUUUGGAGCGCUAAUCCCAGAUACGAUCUGUUAACAGAAGGAACAUUUGCGGUGGUAGAGAAGCUUCAAGAUCUUCGUUGGAUUCCAGUCUAUGACGAUGAUGAUUUUGACUUAUAUUUCAAAUGGGGAUUAGAUAACGCUACAUUUUUUGGCUUAGCAACAAUUGAAUGGCAAGUGACGGAGGAGGCUACUUCUGGGCUUUAUCGUCUUAGACACUUUGGUUCAUCCAAGAAAACGAACUCCUCUCCCAUCAAAUACUUUACUGGCACAUCCAGUGCCUUCACAGUGUCAUAGUUACAUUUGGAGCUUGUUUUAUUAGGAAAAGAGUGCAAAAAUUUUCAACUUUACUUGAACAUUCAAAUCAUUAGAUAAUGUCAUAGAUGAUAUUGACAAUAAACAAACAUGAGUUAUAACUCUUUGAAAAAAGAAAAUUGUUACUGCAAUAAAAAUAACUUAUAAUAACGAAUAUUUUUAACCAUAGAUGAGAUUAGUUACUUAAGCUAAACAUAUACGGAUUCAACUGUUGUAGACGAAUGUUUAUACUGCUGGAAUCUGCAUUCACUUACGAAUUAAACUAUAAAUCUCAUAAGAUAGCCCAUUAAACCAAAGCCCCCUUUGUCUCUUCCAUAGAAAUUCAAAUGUAAUUCUAGUUCUUCUCUUUGUUUCUUCACUUAAAAGUUCAAACAGCCUCGUAUCAUUAACAGAUGUCCAUUGAAUAAAACCCAUUAAACCAAAGCCAAUAUAACAUAAAACAAAAAUACCCUUUGUCUCUUCCAAGAAUUCAAACAUAAUAUCUGAGUUUUCUCUUUGUUCUUUCAAUGGAGAUUCAGAUAGCUGCUUCUUUGUUAUUAUUCUUCGAGCUACAAAUGCGCAGGCCUCCACCAUUGAAAUAACAUCUCUUUCUUUUCUUCUUUUUUUUUUUCUAUCUUUUGCUUCGAGCUUCUUCUUAUCCUGAGCUAUGUUGAAUUCUUUAGUUUUAUGUAAUCUUGUUUAUUCUUAUUCUUUAAGAUUAUCCGCUCACAGCCAUGCCUCUUGUUGCUACGUUUUUUGUCAAUUCAACUUGACAUUUUAUUUGAAAUUUUUGGAGACUUUUCCACUUCGAGUAAAACUUUUAUAAUAUAAAACGAGAUAUCAAAAUGCAGUUCAUUCAAGAAAAGUGGUAUACCCAGUGCUACAUAUUGGAAUACUAGCUCAAUAUGUAACUUAAUACAGAAACCAUGUUUUUCAUUGUGCAUGAGCUUCAAGGCAAUCAGAUUUUAGUGGCACUGGUGAUGGCGGUUUUCACUUUUAUUUACGGAAGAGAAUAGAUAACACUAUAUUGUAUGGCUUAACAACCAUUAAAUAGUAAGUGGCUAAAGAGACUACCUUCAGGGAUUAUUGGCUUAGACAUUUUGCCUCAUUUUAGAAACCGCAAGGAUGAGUUUUUAAACAUCUUGUGUAUCCAAAAUAUCAUAGCUAUAAAGUAGACAAUUAAACGCAAGGAGCUUGUUUUAUUGCCAAUAAUAUAAAACCAUCAUUCUUUUCAAUCCAACAUUCAAAUAAAUAGUGUUCGGGCUUAUUUAUCCAUCCAAAUUACACAUCGGAUGCACUCGCCUUUAAGCAGCAAAUCAAAUGCUUUGUUGAUCUCUUCGAACUUAACCUCAUGUGUAACGAACUCAUCAAGAUGCAGUUCCUGAAAUGAUUUUCAUAAAAACUGUCAAUAGGAUUUAAUGUAUGUAUAAAAGAAAGUGAUCAAGUGAAAGAAUGUUACCUUGUUCAAGUAAUGAUUGAUAAGAACCGGAAUAUCUGAUUUCGCUUUGAUUCCUCCAUACAGACAUGCUGUUAUGGUUUUUGUGCUUUGAAGAAACUCCAUGGAGUUGAACUUCAACUCCGAGUCUGGCUUAUCCAAUCCCACCAUAAUUGUCUUUCCCCAACCCUGAUCUUCCACAAAGAUUACAUGAUAGAUUAUUAUUAGCUUACCAGAUGAAUUACAAUCAUUCUCAUACGAGUCAUGAAUUAAAUUUUCCAGGUUACACAAUAAAACUAGAGUGAUAGUCUGAGAGAGACCUUUCUAGAACUAGCAUAUGCUUCUUGCACCAACGAUGCUCUACCAACGCAUUCAAAACAGUAAUCAGCACCUCCACCGGUCAUCUCUUGGAUCACCUACGUACUCGACAAAAGAAAUGAGAAAGGUUAUUAGUGAUUUGAUUCAUGAAGGUCUAUACUAUAUGCUUUAUCACAAGUUAUUUGAAACAUUAUGUUUACUAAGACAUUUCUCAACCAUCUUGUUAUACUCUAUUCAAGAAAUAAAGAGAAAUGCAGGAGGAAUACUCACCUGGCUUACGGACUUAUCUCCACAGUCCUUUGGAUUUACAAAUUCAGUAAUACCAAACUUUUUGCCUACAUGAAAUACAAAUAUAAAAUCAACCGAAAAUAAGUAUCAUGUGUUUUUUAACGUCUGGGGGAAUAGAAAAGUAAUUUCGAGCACAUAUAUAUAUAUAUAUAUAUGUUAACUGACCAACUUCAAAUUUUUCUGGGUUCACAUCGACACCUAUUAUUUUGGUAGCACCGCAGAGUCGUCCUCCCUCAGCAACCUAAAAUACCACCAUAGAGGAAAGUAAUUUACAUAUUUUAUACACAAUAAUAUUACACAUGAAAGUACAUAAUAAGAAGUAAAACAAUUUAAAUAAUAAAGAAGAAUUGCAAGAGAAUACCGCUAGUCCAACUGCUCCUAACCCAAAUAUAGCAAUGGUUGAUCCUGCCUCCACUUUUGCUGUUUUCCAAGCAGCACCAAUCCCUGAAACACAACAUUUUAUUGGUUAUUGACUACUAGUUUAGUAGCUAGCUAAGUAAGUGUAAUGUUGACAUAUAAAUCUUUGAUAGAUUUACCUGUCGAAACUCCACAACCAAGGAGACAUGCUAAAUUUGGAGGGAUAACAGGGUCAAUCUUUGUUACAUGGGCAAUGUCUACAACAGUGUACUCGCUAAAACUCGACACAUUUGAGAAGUGAAAUAAAGGUUGUCCAUCAAGAUCUGAGAAUCUACUUGUUUCAUAUCUAGGCAUCCAAGGAGUGGUUUUGAAAGGAACACCUGAACAAAGAUUACUUUUAUCUGAUUUACAAUCCAUGCAAUUCUCACAAUUUGGUAUAAAUACUGGGAUAACAGUAUCUCCUUCCACCACUUCAUUUACAUAUUCUCCAACGCUCUCCACAAUCCUGAAACAUGAUCAAGGAAGCUUUAUUUCCAACACUUUAAGAAUUACAUAUAUAUAUAUAUAUAUAUGAGAAACCUCUGAUGAAAAAGUUAUGAGAAUUAAAAAAAGAACAUAUAAUAGAUAAUCUUUAAUUUUUACGUAAAAAAUCAUUAUUGAAAAAAUACUGCAUAACUAAACAAGACAAAGAAAUAUGAAAAUCAGAUUUUCUUCAUUAUGUAUUCGUACUUUUUUAAUGACAAAGAUAGACUUUAAUUUUUGUUAUAUAUAUAUAUAUGUGUAUAUUUAAACAUAAUGUAAACUAAACACAAAAAAGAAAAAAGGAUGUAAACGACAAUGUAACUCACCCGAUAGCUUCAUGGCCGAAGAUCGUUGGAAAGUAACUGGCCUUUAAACACAUAAUACAAGCGCAAACAAAUAUAAAUUGAUAAGUUAAUUCUUCAGUCCAGAUUAUAUAUAUAUAUAUGACUUACGUAUAUAUGUAUAGACAAACCAUAUAUGUAUAUUAGAGAAAGAGAUUUAGCGAGACCUUCAUCCUCCAAAAGCUUAUGUCACUCAAGCAAAGAGAGGUGCAAAUUAUCUUGAUCCGAACCUCGUGAGGACUAGGCGGAGCUACCAUGAUCUCCUCCAUGAUUAGAGGCGUCCCUGCUUCGCGACAUACGGCAGCUAUAGUUUGUUCAUGCAAAGUGAACAAAUAAAUCCUCUCAAAUUAAAUCAUCAAAAAGAGAAUAGGAAACUAGUAGAAUAAACUAAUGAAACUUAGAUCAUUACCUCUGCAUCGAAUUGGUUUCCCAGCGGUUUUGUUUCCAGAAUCCAUGAGGAAAGCAGAUGAAAAAACUCACUAGUACAAAGUAUGAUGAAUAUGGUUGAUGGGGGUUGGCGGUGAAAGACAAAGGAGCCAUAGUAUUUAUAAUUAAACUAAAUAUGCUUCCUCAUGAGCUACCAUAAAUGACUGCUAAUUCUAGGGUGAAUAAUGUAUUUAAUCUUGGCCUUUUGAAUUUGAAAACUUAUUGACUGCUAAUUCUAGGGUGAAUAAUGAAUAAAUGAUCAUAACUCUCUGUCAGUCCCUAGUGGAUAAAUUUACUUAGUAAUUAAUUGAUUUUCAUUUGAUGCGGUGAUUUUAGACUAUUAUAAAUUCAAUAUCAAUAAAUGAACGUAACUCAUUUGACUUUUUGAAUUCGAAAAUUUAUUAAUGGUCAAUUAAAUUUCAUUUGAUACAUUGAUUUUAGAGUAUUAUAAAUUUAAUAUCAAUAAAUGAUUGUAACUCACUGUUCUUAAAUAGAUAAUGUAGUAAUCUUUGACUUUUUGAAUUUAAAAAUUUAUUGGUGGUUAAUUGACUCUGAUUUGAUACACGAUUUUAGAGUAUUAUAAAUUUAAUAUCAAUAAAUAAUGAAACUCAUGUCAGUCCCUAAAUAGAUGAUAUAAUAAUCUUGACUUUUUGAGUUUAAAAAUUCAGUAUCAAUAAAUGAUUGUAACUCACUGUAAGUCCCUAGGUGAAUACCGUUGUAAUUUUGACUUUUUGAAUUUGAAAAUUUAUUGGUAGUUAGUUGACUCUCAUUUGAUAUAUUAAUUUUAGAGUAUUAUAAAUUCAGUCUCAAUAAAUUAACAUAACCGGCUACCUGUUCCUAUGUGGAUAAUGUAGUAAUCUUAACCUUUUGAAUUUGUAAAUUUACUGAUGGUUAGUUAACUUUUAUUUGAUACAUUAAUUUUAGAGUAUUAUAAAUUCAGUCUCAAAAAAUCAUCAUAACUGCUUACUAAUCCCCAUAUAAAUAAUAGAGUAAUUUUAACCUUAUGAAUUUAGAAAUUUAUUGUGGUUAGUUGACUCUCAUUUAGUACAUUAAUUUUAUAGUAUUAUAAAUUUUGUCUCAAUAAAUUACCAUAACUGGUUACUAGUCCUUAGGUGGAUAAUAUAGUAAUAUUGACCUUUUAAAUUUAGAAAUUUAUUAGUAGUUAAUUGACUCUCAUUUGAAACAUCGAUUUUAAAGUAUUAUAUAUUCAGUCUUAAUAAACUAAUAUAAUUGGCCGCUAGUCCCUAGGUGUAUACUGUAGUAAUCUUAACGUUUUGAAUUUGUAAAUUUAUUAGUGUUUAAUUGACUCUCAUUUGAUACUUUAAUUUUCGAGUAUUAUAAAUUCAGUCUCAAUAAAUUAUCAUAAUUGUCUGCUAGAUCAUAGGUAGAUAAUGUAAUAAUCUUUACCUUUUGAAUUUAGAAACUGAUUCUCAUUGAUACAUAANNNNNNNNNNNNNNNNNNNNNNNNNNNNNNNNNNNNNNNNNNNNNNNNNNNNNNNNNNNNNNNNNNNNNNNNNNNNNNNNNNNNNNNNNNNNNNNNNNNNNNNNNNNNNNNNNNNNNNNNNNNNNNNNNNNNNNNNNNNNUAAAUUCAGUCUCAAGAAAUUAUCAUAAUGUCUGCUAGUUCAUAGAUGGAUAAUAUAGUAAUCUUGACCUUUUGAAUUGAAAAUUUAUUAGUAUAUAGUUGACUCUCAUUGAUACAUUAAUUUAGAGUUUUAUAAAUUCAGUAUCAAUGAUUCCUAUAUGGAUAAUGUAGUAAUUUGACCUUUUGAAUUUAAAAAUUUAUUGGUGGUUAGUUGACUGUCAUUUUAUACAUUAAUUUCAGAGUAUUAUAAAUUCAGUCUCAAUAAACUAACAUAAGUGGCUGCUAGUCUGUAGAUGAAUAAUAUAAUAAUCUUAGCCUUGUAAUAUUGAGAAAUACAUCAUCUAUAUUGAGAUAUAUAUUUAAAUAUAUUUGAAAAUUUAUUGAUAGUUAGUUGGUUCUCAUUGGACACAUUAUUUAGACUAUUACAAAUUUAAUCUCAUAAGUUAUCAUAACUGUCCGCUAGUUUUCAGGUGGAUAAUAUAAUAGUCUUUAUCUUAUGAUAUCGAGAAAUAUAUCAUUUAUAUUGACUUAUAUAUUUAGAUAUAUUUAAAAAUUUAUUAGUUAUUAAUCGACUCUCAUUUGACAUAUUGAUUUUAUUCUAUUACAUAUUCAAUUUAUAAAAAGUGACAAAAUUGAUUUGUAGCUUUAAAAACCACACUAUUGCUUAGUCUAUAAAUUAAUAAACCAAAAACUCAACAUUACAUUCAACACUUCAGGAAUCUCAUUACCACUCGUGAUAAGAUGGAAAGCAUAUGAGUAUACGAAUUCAAUUAAGUCAUGAAAUAAAGUCAAAUUCUUUCUUUCUUUUUUUUCCCUUCACCUACAAAGGGAAAAAAAUGGCCUAUUACUCGUAUUUAAGUCAAUGUCUCCAAAUGAAGGUAGAUGUAAAACUCUUUAUGUAAACGAAUUGACUUAUCCCGUAAAAUGUGAAUACAUUGCUUCAAAGGGUCAUGCAAGAAUUUUCUUUCCUAUAGAUAUAUUACAUAUUGAUAUCUUAUUUUCUAUAAAGAAGAGUCCUAAUAUCAUCAAUCAUAAUCAUAUAUUAUGUACAAAAUUCUAUACGAACAAAAUUAGUGUAACCAUAUUAAUAGAAGUGUCUAACUACAUUUUUAUCUUCAAUUUAAAUUUUUUAAGGUUAACAAAGGCUUUGGUUUCUCAUAUUAGCCAAAUAAUUAGAGGAAAUUAUCCUAAUUAACAAUAAAUGUCAAAUUUAUCGAAUCCCAAAUAAAAAAUUUAAAUGAUCAAAUUAUAAUAAAAAAAAUAUUAAAUAUCAAAUUAUAAUAAAUGUCAAAUUUUAAUGAUUAAUUCAUUAAUUUACUCUAAAUUUUUUAAAUAACUUCUAAAAAAAUUGACUUUACAACAAUAAAAAUAGAGUAUCGUAUCAACUUCUUUACAAGAGAAUUAUUUUUAUUGAAUAAAAUCAUCAUCAAUUCCAUCAAAUUAAUGUAAAAACAUAAUUAUGUGAUAUAAUAAGUGUAUAAAUAAAUACCAAUAGUUAUGUUUGAGUCGGCCACUUCCCAUCAAAUUUUUCCUUCCAUAGAACACAACGAGUGCACUUUCCUUCACUAAGCAAAUCAAAGGCUUUGUUGAUAUCUUCGAAUUUCAUCUCACGUGUAAUGAAAUUUUCAAGUUCAAAUUCCUAAAAGAAUUACCAAAAAUCAUAUCAACAAAUAAUUACAUAUGUUAGAUAAUUAAUUGAAUUGAAAUCGAAGAAAUUAGUACGUAUAAAGUAGCAUCAUAAGACUAUUCUAAAACAUACGCUACAUUUAGAAUAUAAAAGAAUUUCUUAAUAUAUAUUUUUUUCUAUACUGGUAUAUAUUUAUAUAUAAAGAAGACACCAAAAUGUUUUCAAUAAAAAAAAAAAGAAACUAAAACGUUACCUUAUUCAAAUAACGAUUUAGAAGAAUGUGAAUAUCGUAUUUAACUUUGAUACCUCCAAACAAAGACCUAAUUAGUUUUUUUCCAUCCCGUAUAAGUUCGUAAAAGUUUAAGAUCAAUUGUGACCCCGAUUUAUCUACACCUACUACAAUUGUCUUUCAACAAUCUUGAAUUACAAAAAUUUUAAGAUAAUUAUUAAAAAUAUUCUUACUAUUAAUAGUUAGAAUAUUUUUAAAUCAAUUUUUAGACGUUAAGAUUAAAUUUCUUUCAAUUCUAAUAAAAUAUAUGUUAUUUAUAUUUAAACUAGAAAAUUUUCAAUAAAUAUCUCAUAUAAAUAUGUUAUUUUAUACAAACACAUAUACUAACAAGCGUAUUAUGAACAAAUCAUAUAAUACCCAAAAAUAAAUAAAUUUCAAUAAAUAUCUCAUAUAAAUAUAUUAUUUUAAGCAUAUACAUAUACUUGCAAGUUUAUCAUGAACAAAUCACAGAAUACAAGGAAAUAAACAUCAUGAUAUCACCAGCUAGUCAUCCUGUAGAAUUGAAAAUUUAUGGAUUAGCAAUUAUGUAAAGUUAGUUUCAUGCAUUUAACUGUUGCCUCAGCAUUAUACAGUGUUUUACCUUCAAAGCUUUAACUAUACAUGCUUAUAAACCUUACCAUGACAUGUAUAUGUAAGUUCGUGCCACCAAUAUGCAUAUAAAGUGCUGUAUAAAAUUUUGGGAAACGUAUGUAAUUUUCAUAUAUAAUCACAGUUAUAGCCUAAAAUAUCAUUGAAGUAAGAGUAAUAUAACACACCAGCAAAUUCAGAGAAGUAAAAAAAACCUUUUUGCAGCAAGCAUAUGCUUCGUGCACCAAGGUAAAGCAGCAGUCUGCACCACGAUCACCAGUCAUAUCCAAGAUUACCUAUUCAACCACAUUAAACAAGCUAGUUAGUUCUUUAAACUUGUUUUUACCAUUACAAAAAUUUCUAUCUUUUAUGAUGUAUAUGGAUAUAACUUUAAUAUUUAUCAUAUAAAACCUCUUUCAGUGGCUUAUCCCCACAAUCUUUAGCAUUCACAAAUUCUGUAAUCCCAAACUUUUUUCCUACAUGGUUCAGAAAUCAAACACAUCAGCGUAGAAAUCAUAAAACCCAUGUCGGCCAUUACUUCUUGAAAACAUUAACUCACCAAUUUCGUGUUUUUCUGGAUUCAUAUCAACGCCUGUAAACCUCGUAGCACCACGUAGUCGUGCUCCCUUUGCAACCUAGAAAUUACCUCUCAUAACGUAAAACUUUUUUUAUCGUAUCACAUGCAAGUGUGGAAUUUUGAAGAAAUAUAUACAUGAAUUGUUUGUAAUUGUUCAAAAAGAAAAUUUUGCUAGACAAUACCGCUAGUCCAAUUGACCCGAGCCCGAAUAUAACCACAGUUGAUCCCGCCUUCGCCUUUGCUGCUUUCCAAGCUGCACCUACCCCUAUUAUACAUAUAUAAAUUUAGUCGUAGUUUUUUGUUUACUUAAGCAGACUUUCAGAAGAUGAUAAUAUUAAAUGUCAGUACCUCUUGAAACCCCACAACUGAAAAGAUAUGCUAAGCUUGGAGGAAUUACAUCUUCACUAUCUGGGUUUUAUCUGUUACAGUAUAUUCACUAAAAACUUGAUACAUUAAGGAAGUGAAACAAAGUCUCUCCUUUGAGGUCUGUAAACCUACAAGAUUCAUAUCCAGGCAUCCAAGGAGAAAUUCUAAAUGGGAAUUUAAAGACAAACAUUGUUUUUCUUUAAUAUGCAGUUUUCACAUCCUCCACAAGCAGAUAUGAAUACUGGGAUAACAGUAUCUCCUUCAGCCACCUCAUUUACAUGGUCUCCAACACUGUCCACAACCCUACAACACAUUUAAUUCAUAGUAAAUUCAAGUACGUUGAUGUUAGACUAAUGGAGAAAUAAUAUUAAUAAUGAUAUUGAAAAUUCCAAGUUUAUUUGAGAAUACACGAUGAACAUAAGACAAGUACGAGUGCAAAAUCUUAUUAUUUUAACUAAUAAUUUAUACAUCAUUUAAUUUGUUAAGAAAAAAAUUAUAGAAGACCGACGUAGAGAGUACCAAAUUGAGGAACUUAAAAAGAGAAAACGCCUAAGGUGUUUUCUAAGACACUAAAGAACAUUAUAACAAAAUUUUAUGGUGGACCACGAUAAUGGAGGGUUCAAGGCAAAUAUCACACUUAUCAUCUCCCAUUAACACUCAUUUCUUGUCUCUAACAUUAGAUUUUUUAGUGAAGAGUUUUCUUUUUUUGAAUGUUUAAAUAUCUACUAUAAUAUAGUAAUGUUAAAGUUGCUCGCCCGAUAGCUUCGUGGCCCAGAAUUCUUGGAAAGCAAGCAGGAGGAAUCUUCAACCGGGUAUCACACAGACAAGAAGCAAACGAACAAAAGCAACUCUUUUAAGUCCAUAACAAUACACUGUACAUAAUAGAUAUAAAAUUAUUCUUUUUCAAAGAAGAAGAAAAGAGAAAGAGAUGGAAAGAGGACCGUCAACUUCCAAAAGGUAAGAUCGGUGUGGCAGAGAGCGGUGCAGAUGAUCCGAAUCCGGACCUCACGAGGACUUGGUGGAGCCACCACGAUGUCCUCUAUGACCAGAGGCUCCCUUGCUUCCCGACAAACCGCAGCUGCAUGUAGUCGGAAAGCCAAAGUUUUGACCUUUUAAAAUCAAUAAACCUACGAGGCAACAAAUUCAGACCAGACCAUACCUUUGCAUCGUAUCGGCUUCCCUGAUGUUUCCCUCGGGUCCAUGAUGAAAACCAGGUAUACCGAAGCUGUUAAUAUAUUAUGUAGAGAUGGAUUUGAUCAGCGUGAGUGGUGGAAGAUAAACAAGAUCGUCCCAGAAUCUAUAGAUGCACGGUUUCUUUUCUAGUCAGAAGAGUCUGAGUGCAUUGGGAAUCAACCAAUUAUGGGUUUUUUGUUAUUACCGAAUACUAUUUUCUUAAUUCAUACGUAUAUAUCUGUUUGUAAUAAAUGCCUUCACAUUAAUCAUCUUAAUAUAGUUGAUUAAUAAGUUGAUAUCGCGUUGUAUAGAUUACGCUACAGUUCCAGCUUUUCCCAUACCUGGACUGAACCUAGACAACCUUUGUACAAGCAGUUAAUACGGUGUAAUCUAACCAGAUAAAUGCAAAGUAAUUAAGGAAUCAGAAUACUGGCAAUGCUGCGGAUUAUUUACCCAAAUGAGCAGAUUAAAGCAUUUGUAGAAACCUAUAUUUGUUAUAAAUAUAUGAUAAUUUCUAAAAUGGUAAAUUUGGGUAAUAAAAUCAUAUAAGCACAAUUAAGGGAAGUGCAAAUGAGGAAUCGAUUCAAGAUCUUAUCAGAAAAAAGACUUCACAAGCUGAUAACACCAAGAAUAUAACACAAGCUUAGAUUCUUAAGUGUAGUUUCAUAAUUCUGCCUCCUUGACAUUUUUAAAGCUAACUUUAUAGCUCAUUCUAGCCUUCAUCAAGGUGUUAGACAUAACCGUUCAAUCAAAAAUAACACGAAUCCAAACAAAGGGUUCGAGGUAAAUCAAGCUCGAGCCAAUUAACGAUUGUGUAGGGUACCGGACCGACAACAUUCGGUCGAUAUUCUUUAGCACCUCAACUCAAGAAAAUCGUUGUAAAAAAAUAAAUAAAUAAAAGUUCUAAAAUCAAACAAAAAUGAUAUAAAAAUAUUAUGCUGCAAGAAUAAGCAUAAAUAUAUGUGAUUUAUUUUUUAAUUUUUUUUCUUAAUAUAAAUUCAUACAUUUUAUUGAAAUUAAAAAUAAUAAAUUCUCCUGAUAAGCACAAAUAAAACAUAAUAGUUUAAUAUUUAAACUCAUAUCUUUAUUAAGAUAUGUAGAAAGUAACAAAUGGUUGAUAAGAAUAAAUUUUUUAUAAUUUUUCAUCCAAAAAAAAAAAACAAAAAUUAAUUAAUAUUAUAACAAAGGCGCAACACGAAGAUCUCGUCCAAUGUGCUCAGAGAAUCUCGCUCGCUGCAGGUGGAGAAGGUGAAGGUGAAGGUUUAAAAGCAAUUGCUACGGAGACUUCUGUAAUUGCCUCCUUCUCUUUUUGUAGGUUUCCAUUAAUACUGCAGCUCGGUGUCCGAAGAUCAUCUUCAGAUUUGCUUUUGUAAGUUAACGAGCCACACAGUAGUACUCAGACUGCUUCAAAUCUUAGUUAUUAAGAAUUUACUUGAUUUUUUUCUUAAACAAGGACAAGAUAAAAUGGUUAUUUUAUUUGAAUUAACAACGUUUAUGGCAGUUGAUCCAUUUUGUAGGCAUCCUCAAGUGGGCUGAAGCAAACAAAAUCAUAAGAUUAAUUUCUCGGGGGCUCGCGGAUCGGCCCGGCCAUCACCGAUGCUUAUUUUAGUACCAUAUCCGGAUAAAUAUAAGCAGAGUAAUGUUUGACAGCUUUGCUGUUUGGUGUACCAUAUAUAUAUAUAUAUAUAUAUAUAUAUGGACCCCCUCUCCACUCCCCUCUUACGCCCUCACCUGCUUUCAGUCGUUCUUGGCUUCUAGUAAUAUUCUUCGAUUAAUCUAGAUUCAUUUCCCGUCUUCUUUCGUCAUGGAUUCCGGCAAUCUCUCAAGCAAAACCGCAGGCAAACCCAUUCGAUGUAAAGGUAAGUUCACCUUAUCCCGUCGAUUUAUCUCAAAAAUGCUCUCUCUCGUUUUUUACCUCUUGAAUCCAGAGCCAUGGAAUUUGACCAAGUUUAAUUUUCAUUUCGCCGUGAACAAACUGUAGCCGCCGUUUGUCGCAAAGCAGGGGAGCCUCUGGUCAUCGAGGAAAUCAUCGUGGCUCCGCCGAGUCCUCAUGAGGUUCGCCUCCGGAUCAUCUGCACCACUCUCUGCCACAGCGAUCUCACCUUUUGGAAACUGACGGUCUUCUCUCUCUCUUUUUAUCUCUUCAUUAUUUCUUUAUCUGUUUAUAUACGUGCAUAUAUUACAUAUACAUAUAUAUAUAUAUAGAGAGAGAGAGAGAGAGAGAAUGAGUUGUAUGAUCUGGAUUGAAGAGUUAUUAUUUUCUGCGGGAUCCAUGAUUUGCAGGUUCCUCCUGCUUACUUUCCACGAAUUCUGGGCCAUGAAGCUAUCGGGUAAAAGCCAGUCCCUUCCAUUCUUCUUUUCCGCUACAUGUGUUCUAAAUUGUUAAAACGUAUUCUCAAACAAAACUUGUUAUUAAAAAUUAUUAAUACUAUUUAAUUUACUUAAUUAUGUUCUAUAAUCAGUACUAAAUUUUAAAUAAUUAUCAUAAUUAUUUAAAUAAUAUUAAAUACUUUGUAAUUUUAUAAUCGUUGCAAUUAUUGGUAAUAUAUUUAUUUCGAUUUAAUGUGUUUAUUUAAUGAAAAUAUUAAUUUUUUUUUUUUUAAAGCAUUCCAAGUGAUACACCUUGCAAGAUAUGAACAAAGAGGGCAAGAUAUUAAUGUUAAAAUUUAUUUUCUACAACAAUCUCGUUUUCAUUAAUGGAUUUGCUGAAGAAUCCCUCCAAGAAUCGCCUGACGCCAUUAAGAUAAAGACCCAUCUUGAUUUUUUCUUUCAAUUUAAUGUAGUUCGUCUAUCCUUUUCUCUCCCUCUCUCUCUCUCUCUCUCUCUCUCUCUCUCUCUCUCUCUCUAUAUAUAUAUAUAUAUAUAUAUGACAGAUCUGUUUACAGUAUGAAAUGACAAAUUAAAUAUUAAUUAAAUUAUUAAAUAGUCCUGCAUGCCUGCAGUAUGCAUAUCUGUAGGAUUUGAAUCAAGGCAAUUGUUAUUUUUAUCUUCUUCCUGGUGGAGUUUUCUUUUGUCUCGAGCUUACUGGUAUACUCCCCAAUAGAUGUUGUAAUUAUGUUAUAAUUAGUGAUAUAAUUGUUAGUGUUAUUCUUCGUUACUUGAGGGUUAAAUAUGUUUCAGGGUUGUGGAGAGUGUGGGAGACAACGUAGAUGAAGUGGCAGAGGGAGAUACUGUCAUUCCAAUAUUCAUCUCUGAUUGUGGAGAAUGUGAAGAUUGCACGUCAAAGAAAAGUAAUCUUUGUUCUAAAUUCCCUUUUGAAGUGUCUCCUUGGAUGCCUAGAUACGACUCCACUAGGUUUACAGAUCUCGAAGGAGAUGUUUUGUUUCACUUUCUCAAUGUGUCGAGUUUUAGUGAGUAUACUGUGGUAGACAAAACUCACGUCGUAAAGAUUGAUCCCACCAUCCCUCCAAACAGAGCAUGUCUUCUUAGUUGUGGAGUUUCUACUGGUAAACCAUUAAGUUUAUCAUCUCUAAAAAUUUUAUAUAAUUUACUAGUAAGUACUGAUAAAUAAAUAUGUACAUAUACAUAUAUAUGUGUGUAAAAUUUGAGAUGAUAUAGGGGUUGGUGCGGCUCUGAGAACAGCAGAUGUUGAGGCAGGAUCAACUGUUGUUAUUUUUGGAUUAGGGUCAAUUGGAUUAGCGGUAUUGUAUCGUACUAAUUUCUUUCCAAAAAUUCAUAUUCAUCGUGAUAUAUUGAAAUGCUUUUUAUGUUGUGAGAGAGUUUUUCAGGUUGCAGAAGGAGCACGUUUAUCUGGUGCUACGAGAAUAAUAGGUGUUGAUGUAAAUCCAGAAAAAUUUGAAACUGGUGACUUGACUUCGUUUUCUCUUUGUGACUUUUUUUUUUUCUUUGUUUUUUUUUUGGUCUUGAUGAUAUCUACUGCUCAAUUUUGCUGACAUUCUUCAUCUUUCACUUCCUGCAGGAAAAAUAUUUGGGGUUACAGAAUUUAUCAAUGCUAGUGAUUGUAGAGAUAAGUCUGUGAAAGAGGUUUUUUCUCUACUGUUAUAUUGGCAUUAAAUUGUAUGUCAUUAAGUGAUUAAAAAAAAAAAAUUGUAUGAUUGAAAAGAAUUUUUGGUUUUGGUUUGUUGACUUGAGUAGGUGAUCAUGGAGAUGACUGGUGGUCAAGGUGCAGAUUAUUGCUUUGAAUGUGUUGGCUUGGCAUCUUUGGUACAUGAAGCAUUUGCUUGCUCCAGAAAGGUCUAUCUAAUGCAUUCUUUGUGUGCAUAUGGGUAUCAUAAAUAAUGCUGGAUUCAUCUAUCUUAGACAUAUUAGGAUGCGGGUUGAAUCAAUUUACACGAUGCAUGUUAUUAGAAGAUGAAUUUAUAGUCGUGUAGCACUCCCGAUCUUUUAAGAUAAGAUUGUGGAAUACAAACAACUACGAGUAACUAACGUGAAAUUAAUUUUAAUUACUUCCUUAAAAGAUAAAUUUUCUUAAGUCUAACUCGUGAUAUAAUUAGUGUUUGCGUUGUGAAAUGGGCAAUUAAAAUUCUCUUUGUGUCAUAGUUGAGAGUUAGACUAGAAACAUAAGAAAGAAUGUAAAGGGAGAAAAAAACCAAAAGAGGUAAUUGAAAUUUCUCUUAUCUUAUUUUGAUGAUUAAAGAACAAAUGAAUAACAAAUCCAACACGUGGUCUUAGGCCUUAGAGUCAAAUCUUGCUUUCAAUUCGGAAUAGAGAGAUACAAUUGUAAUUUUUUCAAAUUAACAGGUAUAAUCUUAAUUAGUCUUAAAAUUCAAAGUAGUCAAUAAAGUGUGUUUUCUCUUGUGAAAUAUUAAGAAUAAUUGUAAUAUUUGGGUGAGUUGUAAAAUUUUCAACUAUUGGAUAAUGAUAAUUGUCAUGUAAGCAUGUGGUAUAACAUGUUCAAUUUUUUUUUUCUCUGUUUAUCAUUUUUUAUUUUCUUUACAUUACUGAUCUUCUAGCUUAUUCAACUUUCUAUCCGAUUGAAUAGUUAAUAAGAUCAUCGUAUCUAUAUUUAAGUGUAUAUGUGAUGUUUUAAGUAAAAUAAUGACAGUUGUUUAUCAUAAAUUUUUAUGAUUCAGGGUUGGGGAAAGACAAUUGUAGUGGGUGUGGAUAAACCCGGGUCACAGUUAAGCUUAAGCUCUUAUGAUGUUCUUCAUUAUGGGAAAACCUUAACAGGAUCUUUAUUUGGAGGUCUUAAACCUAAAUAUGAUAUUCCUAUUCUUCUAAACCGUUAUGUAAAUAAGGUAAUUUUUUUUUUCAAUUCUUGAGUUUUUUAUUUAUUUUUGUUUUCUCUCGUUGAUAAAAUAACAUAUCUUCAUUAACUAACAAAUUUAGAUUUAUUCAGUAUACAAAGAUAUUCUAUUUUUUUCCUUUACACUACACAUAUGUUUAUACAUAAAAGUAUGUAUGUUAGUAUUUGAAGUUGACACUUAAAAAAUAAUAAAAAUAAUUUUUAAAAAAUAUAAAAAAUAAUAUUACUAAAAUUUACUAUUAUUUUUAAUUUUUUUAAAGAAUUGUCAGUUACAAAAUCGACACUGCAAUAUGUAUAUAAACUUUAAACAUUAAAAGAUUUAUUAUGUACUAAUUAUAAUAUAUAUUAUUAAUAUAGUGACAAAUUAUUUUUAAUUUAAAUUAAAUAGUGAGAGUAAUUAACUGAAUGAUACGUUGUGAUGACGAUUAUCUAUAUAAAUAUGUAUUAAUUAUAUUUUGGUGGUUAUUUUAGGAGUUACAACUUGACAAGUUCGUUACACACGAGAUGAAAUUUGAAGAUAUCAACAAAGCAUUUGAUUUGCUUAUUGAAGGAAAGUGUAUUCGAUGUGUGCUUUGGAUGGAGAAAAGUUGAUAGAACUAUUACAAUUAGCACAUGUUUAAGAGUUUGAAAUAAACCACGUGGGUUUCACAUGUUGAAUUCUCUUUCUUGUUAUAAUUGACGACUUAAAAUAAUAUGAUAAAUAUCUUAUUUGCCACAUUUGGGGUACAAAAAUUAUCAUCAUAAUAUUUUCUUUAUUCAUUUUAAUUAAGUAUACAAAUUUUUUUUUGUGUGUAUUAUUAUCGAGUGAUAAAAUUAUAUAUAGCAAUUAAAAAUGCUUAUAUGUAAUUUUAGAUAAUCAUUGCACGAAUGGUUAAUAUUGAAAGUGAAUAUGAAGAUCAAGUUGAUACUGGUUACUAAAAGUUAUUUGAUGAGUAGAAAUAACUUAUCAGACUUCAAAAUUAAAUAUAUACUGUAAAUAUAAAAUGAAACUAAUCGAAUGUAAAUUUAUAUAAUCUUUACAUAUUUAGUAUCGACGUACGUGAAAUAAUAAGUAUUUGAAAAUUUAUAAAUAUUGAACUAUAGCAAUUAAAUAGAAAAAGUGUCGAAAAGAAAAAAAAAAAAAAGUAAAAUUAGGAAAAAGGUUAAGAUGAUUAUGAAAAAGGAAACUUAUAUUGUAAUAAUAUAAUCAAAGAUCCUAAAAUAAUAAUUUUUGAUUAAUUUCACAUUAUUGCAUUAUACAGUUAGUUUACCUAAACGUACACAUUCUACUUUGACUUACUUUCUUACAUAAUUUUUUAUAAUUUUACUUUCAACGACUAGUUUAAUCAAAUAAAAAAUUAUAAUUUUUAAAAUAACAAUUUUUAUACAGCUAUUUCUAUUAAACACGUAAUAAUUUUUUAUUAAAAGUGAUUUUACUUAAUAAUUAUUUUAUCAACACUUUUAUAACUCACAAUUAAAUAUAAAAUUAUGCUAAACACACCUUAAGUUAUAUAAGGAUAUUAAAGUAAUUAAAUCUUAAUCAUUACAAAAUACUAUAUAUGGAGUUAUUAUCUUUAAAAGAAGAGGUUAAAAAUUUGAGUCAGAAAUUAAGUGAACUCUGUCAAAAUAGAUAUUUAUUUGUCUUGUAUAAAAAAAAAAUAAUUAGUAAACAAACAACGAUCAUUCUAAAUAUUCGAAAAAUAUUUCAAUCAUCUAAAAUUAUAACUCAUAUUUAAAAUGAUUCAUAUAUCUCGUGUUGUAAUUUAUAUAUAGUUUAAAAAUAUUAUAAAAUUAAUAAUUAUUUAUUGAUUGAUGGAAUACUAUAAGUGAUAUAUGUUUAUUACUAUCGAUUAAUAGAAUAAUUAUCAUUAACUUUAAAAUAUUUUAAAGUUUUACUUUUUUAAUUUUACGUCAAGUUAUAAUUUAAAUUUUUGUAAUUCAUUCGUGGAUAAGUGAAACACAAAUUUUAUAGUUGUAGAAUCGAAUGCAAAAGUGAAGUUAGUUUAUUUAUAUAUUAAUGUAAAUGUUAUAAUUAAUUUUUUUCAUAUCAAAUAAUUAAAAUUGAAAAUUUAAUGAGAAUUAAAUGAGUUGGGACCAAAUAUAAAGAAGGGAGAAGCACGACUUAGCGUCAAAACGACGUCGCUGCAGGGAUUUCCUUCCUGCGAAAAUAAAAAGAAGGGAAAAGCACGACUGGGCGUCAAAACGACGUCGCUGCAGGGAUAUGAAAAGAAGGGAGAAGCACGACUUAGCGUCAAAACGACGUCGCUGCAGGGAUAUGAAAAGAAGGGAGAAGCACGACUUAGCGUCAAAACGACGUCGCUGCAGAGAUAUGAAAAGAAGGGAGAAGCACGACUUAGCGUCAAAACGAUGCCGCUGCAGGGAUUUCCUUCCUGAGCAAAUAACGCAAGGCAUACUGCAUCUAGAUUCUUCUCCGGCAUUGUAGAAUACAUAUCACAAAACAGCUACUUGAUCCGCUCGAACCCUGCGCGAAUCCAAGCAGACCUAUUUACACGCUCCGUACACUCUUUUUCCAUAUAUUUUCUUUACCAUUUUUCACUGUGCAGCGAUCAAAUCGAAGGUCGAAGCCGCUCUGUGCCUUAAAUCUUCUCUCUGCGAUUCCAGGUUUUUGCACCGGAAGCUUUCGUUUCUUUUGUAUUUUCCAUUUAACUGGUUAUCAAUCAUGCCUAAAAGCCCAAAUGAAACUUGUUUUCCUUUUCUUUUUGUUGAUCAGUAUCGUGUAUCUGAAUUUGUUACCCUUUGACUAAGAGUUGUCAAUCUUGAUUCUGGACCUUGUUUGAUUAUUUAAGCCUUCUAAUCGGAGGAUAAAUCUGUUUUUUUUUUCUCAUGAAUAGAAGAUCAGUAUUGGGUAUUAUUUUAUUAGGGUGCGUGUUAGUGUUUUCCCUGAUUAGCAGCCGUUUGGUUCCCUUUGAAGUUGUUGGGAUGGGCGUUAGUGUCCAUUUCUACAUUUGAUUUUGUACAUUACAUGUGGUGAUUUGGCGCUCACAUUUUUUGGUUUUGUUUAUAUAUGCACUUUUGGGGAAAAAGAAGAAAGGAAAUCCCCAAGAUCAGGGGCUCUCUGAACAAUGAAUAACAUUUGAACAGGAGAUUUGGCUGUGGGGAUAGAGGCAUUUGUUCAAUCAAACUAGAAGCAGUCUGCAACCUUAGUUACUUUCGUGAAAAUGGUACUUGUGGGGAUGUCUUUUGAGGAAAAUGAAAGUUUUAAUGCUGAUGUAUUGGCUUUCAGCUGAUUCCAUGUUUUGAUAAUAUAAUGCAAGAUUAUUUCUUUCUGGAAUCAUGGUUUUCUUUUGGGGGGACCGGUUUGGGGGGAAAGAGAAUGAGAAGAGAGGGGGGGGGGGGGGGGGUUUGGAUGCAUACUGUUUAAAGUGGGUAAGACAAGCUACAUGUAGUAGAAUGAUAAUUUGAUGGUUUAAAUCAUAAGAUUUACAAUCUUUACAGCCUCUCUUAUUUGGCUGUAGUUUGACCUUGUUUGUUCAUGAAAAAGUUUUGACUUUCCUUCAGAAAAAUUGCUCUUACAUUUGAUAGGUAAAUAAAUUUUCAGGUGGAAGCAUUGCAUUAUUUAAACACCAUUUUUCAUUUUCUCCAAUCUUUAUCUAAAUGGAAUUUUGUCUGGUCAUAUAGCUUAUGUUAUAUGUAAAACAUGUGUUCAAAUUGAAAAUGAAAAUAGUGUUAAAAAAAUCAUGAUAAAAAUGUAGAAAGAGUUUGAAAAGAACCCAAAGAUUUUGAUCCUUUCCGAAAAUUCUUUUUAUUUAUACUUGAAUACUACUUACACUCACCAGUAUAUGUUUUUAUUAUGGAUGUAUAUGUGUUUGGAGAAUAAAAAAGAGAAAAUAAUUUCAUAUACCAAAAAAGCCUGUUAGUAACUGGAAUAUUUCUUAUCUCAUAUACAAGCAUAUGGAAGUAACUUUUAAUUCAAAUUAGAUAUAUGGUGUUUACCCCCCUUUUGUCCUAACAUACUCGUUGCUAACAUAUGUAUCUGAGCAGUUUCUAUUACUUUGAUCUUGUUCUUUGUUUCUAGGUUUUGGUGUCAUUAAAACAUCAUGGGGGACACGUGCCAUGAUGAAGGUUCUAGCAGCUGCAAUCGUUCUGGAGAGAGUUCCAAUUCAGUUGUUGAGCUCAAUAUCAAGACUCUGGAUUCACAGAUUUAUAGCUUUCAAGUAGAAAAAAAUGUAAGCAGUAAUAUUCUGUAAUAAUAUUUGUUAUUUGCUUUUGGUCACUCUAUUAAUCCAUUUCCUUGUUCAUUUAUUUUUUUUAUUCACUGAUAUUUGCAUUUCAUUUAUAUGUCAUUGUUGAUUUAUGUGGUAACAAUGAGAGAUCAGCAAUGGUGGAUUCAACAAAUUGUUUUAAGCUGAGCCAUUGGUGCAGUUUCAUGUGGAAUUUAAAAAAAAUCUCUACUGUUUUGGCUGAAAAUUGUGCUAACCUGAUUAUAUCUGAUAUUUUUUGGUAUUCAAAAUAAUUGCAGAUUCCAGUUUCAUUGUUCAAGGAGAAAAUAGCCAGCAAAAUUGGCAUCCCAGUCAGUCAACAGCGGCUGAUUUUCCGCGGAAAGGUCUUAAAGGAUGAUCAGCCACUUUCUGAAUACCGUAUCCUAUCUUUCUACUAAUUAGGACUUUAGUGAUUUUGCAUUUUGUUUAUCUGUACUAGUUACUGUUUAGAAACGGUAAUCUAAAUGUUACUAUUUGUGUUUUGCACUAAAGAAUGUGAUAUUGGUUAGAGAAAACAUAUAAUAUGGCAUAAUAUCGGUGAUCUAUGGCUAUUAUCUGAAACAUAGUAUUGGCUGUAAGAGUGUCACAUACUUGAAACUCUUCAGUUUGUCAUUCCCCAGACAUCUAUUUGCAGUUUGAUAUGCAUUUAUUCAUGCAGGCAAACUUGGUUGGCCCAUGAAAAUUUAAAAGAAAACACAAGGCAUGGUAGGACCCAUUGACAUGACUCCUUUGCAAGUUUUGCUGUGAAGAAUUUUGUAGUAUCAGUAAAUAGCUCUUAUCUAAAAGAGUGUGUUACUUAUACCUGUCCCAUAUUAGUAAAUUGAAUAUUAAAUCUUAAAUAUUUGAAUCAUUGGCUGGACUGAAUUGGCUGCCUUAAUCUGGUUUCUUUUGGUGGAUAUGCAGCUCAUUCCAUAGAAAAUGACCUAGUUAUUUUUCUCUUGUCCAUUUCUUGUUUCGUGGUGACUUGUCAUAUGUCCUGUUUCUAUAUUUUAUUUUUAUGCCGCAAAACUCUUAACCAUCUAUAGAUGUGGAGAGUGGGCAUACAUUGCAUUUAGUUGAGAGGCAGCCAAGUCAAUCGCAGCCUUCACCCAACACAGGCUCUGGAGAAAAUGGGAGUAACGGCAAUCGAGGUUGGUUCUUAAUAUAGAUUGCCUAUGUAGUGUUUCAAGUUCUGAACAUAUUUUGAGAAGUAACAUUUAUUACUCCUAAAGGGACCAAGUAUUGAUUUUUUUAAAAAAAAUUAGCAGGAAAUGAUAAUGCUACUGGUGCUGUUCGUAAUCGUGUUGGGCAAAUUUCACACAGCGUUGUUCUCGGCACAUUUAAUGUUGGGGACCAAGGUGAAGGAAUUGUUCCAGAUGUUACAAGGGUGGGUCAUUCACUCUUUAUGUCAUGGUUCUCGUGAGCUUUAUCUUUUGUACUAUUUUUGGUUCUAAUUCUGCUUGUGGAUGAUGAUGGAAACUGAAAAAAUGUAUGUAAUGUAAAAUUCUUCAUGUUUUGCAUGCAUGGCUUGCACAGGUUAUUGGGGCUGUUUUAAAUUCUUUUGGAAUUGGCGCCCAACCAACCACAAAUAUUACCCAAGCCCCAUCUUUGGUAAGUGUUUCUCUUUUUUUCUUCCUCUUGUAUUUUUUUCGUCCUCAAUGUUCACAUAGCAGAACAUUUGAUUUUAUAUGCUGUGUGAAUUUAUUGUAAGGGUCUUCUUAUGCAAGUCUAUACUUCAGUGUAGGAUCAAUAAAAGAUAAUCUGAUUACUUAAGGAUUUAGGAUAUACCUAGAAGCUAUGCCUAAUAAUUUUUUGGAUAUCUCAAAUAAGAAAGGAAUUCGCAUUUGAUUGCAUCACACAACUAUUAAAUUUUUUUAGCAAACUUAUAAAUCAUUAUUCCCGAAUGUCGGAUCUCAAAGGUGAGAUAGCUUCUUAUAAUAUUCUCUCUCUCUCUCUCUCUCUUACNNNNNNNNNNNNNNNNNNNNNNNNNNNNNNNNNNNNNNNNNNNNNNNNNNNNNNNUCACAUGUCACAGUAAAGGUGACAUCAAAGGUAGGGGGAUGUUCACUCUCCGGUCCAAAAGGAAAUGAGAACACAUAUCUAUGGAUUUUGUAGUGGUUACCAAGGACACGAUCAAAUCAUGAUACUAUCUGGUUGUGGUAGACCGUUGACCAAAAUCUGCUCACUUUUUGGCAACAAGGAGCUCGGACUAUGUGGACAAGUUAGGCAGGCUUUACGUGAAGGAAGUGCUCCGCAUACAUGGAAUUCUUGUAUCCAUCGUAUCUAACAGAGACCUUAGAUUACCUCCAGAUUAUGAGGAAGCUUUCAGCAGGCAAUCGGCACAAACCUGAAUUUUAGUAUAGCCUUUCACCCACAAAUAGAUGGAUAGAGAGAAAGAACUAUUCAGACACUAGAAGAUAUGCUACGAAUUUGUGUACUUGAUUUCGGUGGAAAUUGGGAUGAAUUAUUGCUUCUGAUGGAAUUCUCAUAUAACAAUAGUUAUCACGCCAGCAUAGGCAUGGUCCCAUAUGAAGCCCUUUGCGGGAGAUCUUGCAAAUCGCCAAUAUACUUGGAGGAGGUUGGAGAAAGGAGACUAAUCGGAUUGGAACUAGUGGAAAAGACCACCACAAAGGUAACUAUAAUCGAGAAAAAUCUCCAGACAACACAAUGCAAACAGAAAAACUAUGCAGAUAACAGAAGAAGAGAUCUAAGAUUUGAAACCGGGGAUCAUGUAUUCCUCAAGAUGUCCCCAAUGAAAGGUUUAUUGAGGUUUGAGAAGAAAGAGAAGUUGGGCCCUCGGUUUAUAGGGCCCUUCGAGGUAUUGACAAGGGUGGGCGUAGCAGCCUACAGGCUAGCACUGCCGCCAGAGUACUCAAGCAUACACAAUGUUUUUCAUGUAUCGAUGUUACGCAGAUACCACCCGGAUCUGUCCCACAUCAUACAACAUGAGACACUAUCCCUAUAGAAGGACACGACGUACGAAGAAAGACCAGUUUGUAUACUCGAAAGACAGGAGAAGAUGCUGAGAAAUCGAACCAUACCCAUGGUGAAAGUCUUAUGGCAACAUCACCCCAAAGAAGGGGCAACUUGGGAACGAGAAGAUAUGAUGAAGAUGAACCACCCUCAACUGUUUGAACAAAUAUGAUAAUGUACCAAAUUUGGGGACAAAUUUUCUUUUAGGGGAAUAUGUUGUAACGAGGGGAAAAAUCUUAUAACCCUGGGAUUCAAGGUAGUGUAUUAGGAAUUUAUAAAUUGAGAAAAAUAUAAAUACAUAUAUAUAGAUGAAAAAAAGAAGAAUUAUUCAUUGUUCAUAUAUGCCCACUGAAUUAAUAAACUCUUAUGUGAGGGAAAUGAACGAAAAAGCCAGUGCAAAUAUGGGCAAAAAUGCAAAUUUCAGGAUUUUGCACAGGUCAGCCAAAGAAAGGUAAAAUGGACCAAUCACUGGCAGACCAGUGUACAGGCUACGUCAGAGCCUGCAAUUUUAGGCAGGAAUGGUCCAGAUUUUGCCAUAUGGACCUGAGGUGGCGCAAGGAACGGUUCUAGAGAGGAAAAUGAGAUAGACGGCCCAAAUUGAGUGUAACAUUCCAAGGCACUGAUCAUUUUUCCCUUCACCAUAAAAGGGGGGCAUUGAGUUGCAGAGAAAGGAAGAAAAAAAUUGGGAACUCGCCUGGUGAAAACAAAGGGGGAUUUACAAACGGUUCAAGCUGCAGGAGAGCCAGCUUGGGAAGAAAAAGUUGAUCGACUCAACGCCGUCGCUGCGAACAAGGGUAAGUUCCAUUUGUUUUUCACAUCUUGAAAUAGAAAUUUAAAUACUAAAUUUCUUUGAAAAUAGAAAUGAUUAUGGUGUUGUUGAAAGAGAUUUUAGGUAGAUUUGGAUGAGGGAAUCUAUCAAGGGAGUUAAAGGCAUCAUCGGAGGUGAAAUCCUGGAAAGAUAUGGAGAGGGGAGAUCUAUCCAGGAAAAUCGAAGGAGUAAUGGGAUGAGGUAAGAAAAAGAGAAUUGAGGGGAGUUGUUUAGAGUGAGGAGGAGGAACAAAUGAGAGAAAGGGAUCAGCGGACAAGGAAGAAAAUAGAGGGACACCUGCAGUGAGAGUGCUACCUAUUAUUAUUCUGGAUAUAUAAAUAUAUAUAUACUCACAUUUCUGUAUUUAGCGAUAAAUGUUUCUCUUAAGUGUUUGGUGUGCUCUCGUGACGGAAGGAAGUAUAUAUAAAUUGGCCCAGUUACUGUAUCGAGGGGCCCCGAGGGUGUAUUUUGGCAUUAAGAUACCGUUUGGGAAUGGUCUGAAUAUACAUAUAUAUUGGUGUUACUGUUCUGUGAUGCUGAGAAGAAAAGCGAAUAGAGUUCUGCUGUGGCCCAGUUAUUGGGUCGAAGGGUUGAUGGGGAACUGAUUGUGUUCCGUGAUGAGCUUCUAUGUGAGGCAUAAAUUGUUUAGCUGUGGCCCUUUUAAGGGUGCCCCGGAAUUUGUUUACAUAUUUUAUUUUUGUUCAGAUAUAUAUGUAUAUAUAUAUAUUGACUUGCUGUAAGCAAUGGAGGUGCAAGCAUUCGGGUCCUGAAUGCUGUAGAGUUCUGGAAGAAUACUGCAUGGGUGAGUCAGGUUUGUGACAAGAGAUGAUAUAAAUAAAUCAGAGGAAGAGUUGAAGGGUUAUGGUGAGAAAAUGAUACUGGCAAGAGUUAGAGACGACAGGAGAAAUUGGGUAGAAAUUAGCUGUUUAGGCUGGAGAGGGACUGAACAGAGGGCAGUACUGAGAGUUGAUGAUUUAAUUUUUUUCCCUUCUUGGUAGGCUGUGCGGAGAAAAAAAAAGGAUAGCAGGGGGUAUACUGAUGGGAAUUAACCCAAAUAUUGAUGAUAAAAAAUAACAGCAAAUUGAAUAAAUAAGAAAGGGAAGUAGAAAUAGAGGUGGAACAGAAAGGGAUACUGGGCAGGGGUUUUGGGAGAAAUUAGGAAAUAUCUAGGAGGGGGAAAUAUGUGAUCAGAAUAUAGGCAGAUGAUACAGACAGUGAUAGGGUUGGAGAAGAGGAAGCUGAUAGGUUGUAUGAUACCCAGUACCGGAAAUUUAGUUUUAAAUGUUUCUAUUUACUUGGGUGUGAAUUUCAAAUUUUACUUCUUGGGCAUUGUAGCUUAUUAUGUAGUUUAUUACAGAACAGGUGAAGCUGGAACAGGAACCGGAAGUGCAAGAAGCGUGCCUCCAGACUUGAGAAUGGAUAGGACGUACAACAUUGUAACUAUCGCUGACUUCGAAUGUAGUGAGAAACUGUAUCAGCAUUGUUCUAGAUAUAUAUGUCCCACCCAGGAAAUUGAAUUACUAUUUACUUUCAUUAUAAUUAUUUGGUGACCUAGUAUAGUGGCUGCAGGUGGUAUAGUUGAGAUGGUAAAUACAUGAAUAUAUAUGGACAUGUAUACAUGGGUUUCAUAUAGAAUGAAAAUGCAUGCAGAUUGAGGUUUUGUGAUGGAAUGCUUUACGAACUGUUCAGGAUGUGAAUAAGCCUUUCAGGUUGAUUGAUAGAAUAACUGGCUCAGAAGCUGGGUUGUUACAGUAAAGGAGAUAAUGGGUUUCCAUGCCUGAGAUCGUUUUGGAAAUCUGACACCCUCAACCAUUCAUCCUUGAACCUAAAUGGGCAAGGUCUCAUUUGAUACUAUUAGAAUUCAAACAAAUGGAAAAAUGGUCCGAGAUCAUGCACUAGAGAUGUCUCUGGAUUAGCCUUGUAGUCUGAGAUUGAAAGGAGACACAAAUUAAGAAUCAAUUUAUCUUGGAGCAAUUAGGAUGAGAUCUUUGGUUAGACCAGAUCCACCCGUGAUUUUGAGAGAGGAAAGUCUUUAAGUUCUGAUCUAUCCACAAUGUCUUGGAAUUCCUUGGCACAAACCCUUGAGAACUGCAUUCAAGAACACUCACAUAUCUUGAGAACUAUGUUAAAGUCACUCCCUACAACCUAUGGAUGAUCCCAUUUCCUCCUACAUUUCUCUAGAUCACUCCACAAUCUUUUCCUCUCUCUCUCCUCACCUCUGCCAUUAGCCCCAGUAAGUAAAUAACUAUAACGACUCCCCGUACAUUCAAGCAAGUGUGAGAUAAAGCACUCACCCAUAUCGAAGUCCUUAUAGUGAAGAGUAUUCUCAUUCCAAGGCACUACAAUUCCACCAGCCGUAAUUGCAGCAACUCUCGCCAACACACCCUAAUCUUUCAAAUACUGAGUGUCAGGCUAUCAAAGAAAGAUUCCACUUUUGUUUCUUGUAAGCAAAUCAAUUUCCAUCUCAACAAGCAUCCUUUUACAGCUGAUCUCUUCUUAUGAUCAUUCAGGUCCCUUAUAUUUUGAAAAUAAUGCACUCUAACAUAAGGCUAGCACUGAAGUUUCACCAUUCUGUCCCUUCUUGCCCUUGUUAGAUUUCUCAUUGUUAAUUGUUGAUUGUAGUUUCAUUAUUAAUUUGUUGAUUGUUAGAUUUCUCAUUAUUAAUUGCUGAUGUCCCCUAUCAUGUCUCACCCAACAGCUUUUAUUCUCAUAUCAGUUUGGGCCACAGAAAGAAAUUUAUGCUUGUUAUACUCUCAAAUGGCUUGUGCUUGGAAUCUGUAAAUUAUUUGUGGUGGACCAGAUAUUAAUAUUUGCUGCAUAUAGUUAAAGCUAUCUUAACUUAGGUUGUUUUGUUGUGUCUGUCAAAUGAAAUUUAGUAACACCAAAUGUGGUUAUUCUUCAUUAAAAAAUAUUGCUUGCAAUUCUUUUGGUUAUAAAAAAUUAGAAGAAUGCUUUGCUUGCUUUUUAUCCUUUGAAACUGCUAUGUUUCCAAAAGAUAAAUGUGGGUUAUUUGGAGAAUUAGACAUAUAGUUAUGGAAGAGAAUGAUCUGACCCAGGUGUUAACUCAAUAGCAUUUCUGAGAUUUUGGACAUGAGCUGGAAAUAAAAUAGUGAAAGCGACAAGAUGAAUUUUCUUCUUGUGAAACAACUUUAAGGUUAGCAUAAUCUAAUUGGUUGCUCAUGUUUUAUGCAGACAAAUACGAGUGGUCAAGCUCCUCAAGGAAGUGAGUCAGAUGGAAUGCAUGGGAAUGUUGGUGGUCAAAACCAAGCAGCAUAUCAGACGCAAUCUGGACAGGCCUUACCCCAAUCGUCACCUCAAGUUGUACAAGUUCCUCUCUCUGCAGCAACAGCAGCACCUUUGCCUUCAUUUCAUGCGGUAGUUACACCUUCCUCUUUGGUGUUGCCUGAGAUAUACCAUAUAUGAAUUUGAUUACUUAUAAAAUCACUUUAUCAUUCUUGGUUCAGCCCAUUCCUGAUUCUCUGAGCACCCUUUUGGAGUUUACACGUCACAUGGAGCAGGCACUAUCACAAAAUGGUGAUGGUAAGAAGUACUGUCUCUGAAAUUGUUGAAAUUGAAUGCCACUACUAGUAGGUUAUAAAGUCAGGCUAUCAACCUUAUAAUUCUUCAGGUAGCACUGAAGAACUACCAAGGGUGGAACUGCGUCCUGGUCCACAAGGUUUACCGACACCUGAAGCACUGAGCACUGUCAUGCGUCAAGCACAAAGGCUUCUUAGUGGCAAUGCUACUGCUGCACUAUCUGUAAAUUUUUGUCUAUUUUUGUUGUCUUGCACAGACAUAUUUGGAAUUUUUUUGCCAUUUUUAAUUAUUAAAUGAGCAUAUAUAUAUAUAUAUAUGUAGGUACUUUAUUGCUUUUGGUGCUUGUGAUAAUCAGAAGUUUUGAAUAUGAGAUUCUUUUUUCUUAGAGUGAGAAAAUCUCUCCCUAUCAUUCACCAUUUUCCUGUGAAUUUUUUUAUCUGAUUAUUGUUAUCUGUAAUUUGCUGCAACUUUGUAGCAUCUUGCAGGGCGCCUGGAGCAAGAAGGUAGUUCUUCCAAUCCUGCUGUAAGGGGGGGAAUACAGUCCGAGUCAUUGCAAGUUGGCCUUGCAAUGCAACAUCUAGGAGCUCUUCUGCUAGAGCUUGGUCGUACAAUUAUGACACUGCGAAUGGGACAGUCUCCUGUACGAUCAAAUUCUUUCUCUAAUGCUACUUUAGUUUAUAAUUUCUACAAUGUAGAUAACUGUUUAUAUGUUAUGUUCUACAGGCAGAAUCAUCUGUUAAUGCUGGUCCGGCAGUUUAUAUAUCUCCAUCAGGGCCCAAUCCCAUAAUGGUUCAGGUUGGUCUGUAAUUUCGGACUGUAGGGAGCUCAAUAGGAUCGAACUACAUGUUUUUUUUUCCUUAGUUUGUCAUCAUUUAUUUUCCUUGCUAUGACUCUCUUUUACCAUGGUUUGUUCAGUCAGAUUCAGAUGGUUCUCUCCAUGAAAACUGUAGUGGUUUUAAAGAAAUAUUGGAUCUUUGAGACACAUGUUGAGUUCAUGACAUGUAUAUACCUUGUAGAGUUGCAUAAAGUUCUACCUAUGAUGUUAUCUGCUUAUUGAUAUCUUGGAAUAAUGUCUUUACAAUAUAUUUUGACAUGAAAGAAUACACUACUCUUGUAUGACCAAAUGUUGUUGGAUAUUGGAGAUUCUACUUUUGCUCUUAAUGAGCCAAAGGAAUUUUUAUGCAUAAGUUACCAAGGAUAAACAGGAAAACAGAAAAACAUGUAUACAACUUGGUGCCCGUUAUUAAUGAUACUUUACACUUUCCAUUAAAAAAAAAAAAAGAAAACAGACAGUCGUUGGAUAAGACUUUUCUAGUAAGGUUAAUAAUAUAAACGAGGGCUGAAAGGCAUAUGUGACAUCAAGAAUUUGUUUACUGUUAACAAAGGGCAUCUGCAAUUUGCCAAUUACUCUUCCCACCAACUUACCCAGUGAAGCAGCUAGAAGCAUUGCCAAUAACUUAUAUAUAGUCAACAAAACUUAUGGUCUGAACUGCUUCACAUCGCUUGCCAUAGAGAAAGUACUUGUCAAUCAUCUUAAGAAUGUCGUCUAUCAUUUUAAGAAUGUCACCUUUGAUACAUAUCUAUUUGUUUGUAAACGAGCCAUGGUGAAGUCACUACAUGGGGGUGGCCUAAUCCCUAUUGACUUGGACAAGGCAUAGAAGAUCUUUUCAUCUAAUUCCUUCUCUACCCCAACUUAUCCUCCCGAGAGAAAUCUGAAUUGUAUAGAUCAAUUCGACUAAUUUGGGUUUAGUGUAAAGAUAUUUAAAGUAGUUUUCUUAUAACCUGCUUCAAGUUUUCUCUUCACAAAAAGACUAGAAAAAAUAGUUUUUGAUCCAUCAGAAUCUCAACCUUUGCUUUUAGGAGAUUUCUUCCAUGUUUAGCUAGUAGGCAAACUCUAAUUUAGCCAUACAUCUAUAUCUCUCCAAACAAGAGAAAAUCACAUUGACGUCCUUCUUGUCUAAAUAUAACCGCCCGACCCCACUAAUGUGAGUACGGACGUCGGCACACACAUGUUAACCAUUAAGUAUACAAAAUUUAGAUACAUGCAGCGGUUUUGUACAUUACACUAAUUCAUCUCUUGUAGUUCAUUGUGUCAAAAUACAAUACCAUGAGGUAACACAUUAUGAUUCCAAUACAAGAGUUAACAGUAGGAACAAAUAACCUUAAUUACAAGUUUUACUAAAGUCCAGGUUCGGGUCCCCUACUUGUUCCUUACUGGUCUAGAAUUUGUUCCGGGUUCUCCUAAUCUGAAAAAUUGCUACUAUGAAUUUUGGGUGAGCUUUAUUUGCUUAGUAAGAAUAUGAUAGUAUUCUAUUCACAAAGGCAAACCUAAUGUAACCCACAUGCAAGUGGCAAAGAAAUGCAUUUAACAAGAAGGUUUUUAGUUGUAGACUGCUGAAAACUUCAUAGUAAGAUUUAUUUAAUUGCUUUUGUUUAGAAUACCUUUUUUGACUUACUUGCUUACCCAUUACCCUUUCCUCUUAGAAUCCUUACACAGACUAUGUAUUUUUGGCAGUGUUGUUAGUCUUAUCAUUCUUAAAGUGUCAAAUUCUCUUUAACCUUUUUCUACCACCUUUGUGACACCGACACUUCUUUAUCCCGAGGUUACUUUUCGAAUUAUCUCAAAAAAUUAUUUUAGGUUGACUGCUUCCUAUGCCAAUACAUAUGCUUAUGGUUUCUCUUCUAUUUUUCUAAAUCACUUGCCCAUUCGCUAAUGCAGUUGUUCACACAUUUACUUGCACAUAUAAUCACAAUUCACAAAAUUCACUAAGACAUUUGAGGACAAACACUUACACAUUUGAUCACAUAUUCACUCUUACAUUCAUUUACACUUUUGCUCUUACUGGGAUUCCAUUGUAUGAUAUUGUUUUUACCGGUAUCAACGAGGGCACAAAGGAUUCCCUCUAUCACAUGGACAGAAACACAUAUCACAUAUCGAAUUGGUCACAGUAGUAAUAUUUACUAGGUGACCCACACACAUCACAUUCCCAUCCACAUUUGGAUUGGACACUAUCAUCCAUCCAUGGGUAGAGUUCAUCACACAUCUCGCUAACAAGCACACACCCUUCAUUGAUACGUGGUCAAACGGACUUUGGUAUCUCAUUAACACCCUUAAAUUCUCCUUUUCCUUUGUUUUAUGUUACUCCUGAAUUUGAUAUGUUUUUUUUUUUUUAAAUAAAAAGUGUAAAAAGUAUAUUAAUAGGUACCAAUGAAGUACCAUUCAUGUACAAUUAUAUUUAUAAUAUAGUGAUAUAAUGUAUGAUAUUUCUAAAAUCAUCGCACCUAUACAUGUCAUGACUUAACAUAAGCGAACCAUAAAAAUGCAACCACCUAUCCUUAAUUCUUGUCAUCUCAUCCUUGAUACCAUUAAAAGCCCUACUAUUUCACUCUUUCUAAAUAACCCAAAAAAUAACUAAAGGUAUAAGCUUUAAGUGACUUUUCAUUUUACAUAACCCCUUUCAAGCCCAUAAUUCCCCCCUCUCCGAUCCAACAAUCACCUAUUUAAUGCCAAUCAGAUUAUACACGAUGGUUCAAAGCUCAUAAAUCACCAGGCACCAGAGAAGAGUACAAGAUUCUGCAUCUUUUUUGCAUAGAUAGAAACCAUUCACCAUAGUUCGGCUCAUUCUCAUAAGAUUAUCAAUAGUCAAGAUGCAGUCUCUCCCUACUUCCGAAGCAAAAAAAACAACUCUAGGCGAAACGUGAACUUUCCAAAUCUGACUAGCCAGAAACCAAACAACCCCCUCCCUCUGAUUGCCAACCAAAUAAUGAUAGUAGGACUUAACAGAAGAGUUGCUGUUUUUAGUCAACUUCCACACAGUGCAGUCUCUCUCAUCACUUACUAGAUCAGUGAGUCACUUCCAUGGUGGGGCAAGAAGGGGUAGUCAAAUUGGAAGAAUUCAAUAUAAGCAAGGCUGUUACCGACAAGGUGGCAAAUGCCCUGUCACGAAGAGAAGUUGGACAAUGGGGACAGCUACCAAUUUGACCACCAACAUUGCAGUAGAGCUGUUGGUGGUAGCUGCUGUGAUUACUCCUGCCUGGCCUAAUGAAGUGGACCUCAGCUACCAAGGUGACACCUCUCUCAAGGGCCUAGUGGCCGAGUUAUUCUCCACUCUCGAAAGCGGGCCCCCCCCUCCUUUCCCAUGACCAGCAAAAUGGGGGAUGGUGAUCAGGUGCAACACAAACUUGAGGAACAAGCUCCUUCAUUAGUGCGAUAAUUCAGCUAUCGGUGGACACUGGGGUGUCAAGACUACUUAUGUGAGUGCUUUAAGCAACAUUUCUUUUGGCCAUGCCUGAAACAGCUCGUAUCACAAUGGGUUAAGACUUGCAGUGUUUGUCAAAGAUGUAAUAGAAAGUGAGUCCCCAUUCUUUGAUUACGACUGCCCUUCGAUGCUCUUAUUCAAGCUUGGAUUCAUGUAUUGUUUGAUUUCAUUAAACCACUUCCGAAGUCCAAGUCUAGGGAUACCAUACUAGUAGUGCUUGACCAUUUCACCAAAUAUGGUGACUUCAUUCCACUUACCAUUCAUUCAUAGCCCAAGGGAUUGCCAGAAUCUACAUGGAUUCCAUCCAUAGGCUACAUGGAGUUCCGCAAAUCCUGAUGUCGGAUAGAGAUAAGUUUUUAUCAUUCUAUCUUGCCUGGAACUAACGAAGCUGUUAGGUGCUGAGAUACACUUUAGCUCAAUCUUUAUCACCCUCAAACCUCAAACUGAGAGGCUUAAUCAGUGUUUGGAAAUGUACUUCAGGUGUAUGGCUCAUCAACAACUAAAGUCCUAGACAAAGUAGUUGGCAACUGGUGGUACAACAACACAUACCACUUGAGCUUGAAAAAAAGCCCACUGCCCUAUUUUUCUGAAAUGAUGGACCUCCAAAAACCCUCACAACUUUGUAGAGGAAUACAUGGCCGAAAGGGAGCAAGCAAGCAAGCUAAUUAAUUGCCAACACCUUCUCCAGGCUCAAUACCGUAUCAAGCAAUAUGCUGACAAGCAUCGCAGUGAGUGCCACUUCCAAGAAAAUAUAACCUGGUGCUUCUCAAAUUACAGCCUGACCGACAAGGCUCACUUCUCAAGGGAGAAACCCCCAAAUUGCCCCCACAGUUUUAUGGGCCGUUUACUGUCCUACAGAAAAUUAGCAAGCGGCUUAUUGGCUUAAGCUAUUUCCUGCAUCCCAAUUUGUCCUGUUUCUCAUGUCUAUCAGCUGAAGAAGUAUGUGUCAAGUAGGCAAAUCCAUGUUAAAGAGUUGCAUGAAGUCAAUCAAGAAGUGAUAGUCAGCGUUCAGCCUGAACAGAUCCUACAGCACAGAAAAAUCUUUAGAUGGCAAGGAGGUAGACCAAAUGCUAGUGUAUUGGGCAGGAACUAGCAAGAAGGACUGCACUUGGGGAAGAUUCAUAGUUCUUCUUCCAGCAAUUUUCCAGCCUUGAGGACGAGGGUUUAUAUGUAAAAGGAGAUUUAAGAGAGUGAGGGAAUGGUUAGUUAAUUGGGUUCCAUUCGAAUACUCUAACCAUUCUAUAUAUAAUUGAAGAAGAAAUAAAAACAAGACUUAGCAGAAAUUCAAAUAUCUAAAUUCUUGAUCUCGCUCUCUUUUUCCUCCGUUCUCUCUCUCAUUCUUCGCUCUAUCUUGCUCUGGCUCUCUCUCUGUUCUUCUUUGAAGUUUUGAACAGUCAAGAGCUCAAUGACAAAUGCUCUUGACAAUUGAGUAGUCAGUAUGUUAAUUUUAUCCUAUCAACGUGAUUUCACAUUUCUGAACGAUUAUGUGUUCUCAUUAUUUUUUUCGAAAUAAAUUGUGUUCUCAUUAUAUUUGCUAUGGAAGAGAAUGGCCGAGCAUAGGGUUUGGUAAGUAUUCAUUGUGAAGCUCGAAGAUCAAGAUUUUAUAUUAUCAUCACUUCAAAACUCGGUAAAGAAGUUUUCUCUAACUAGGGAGAAUGAUGCAGAGUGGCUUAAGUUUAUAUUGCCUAAAACGCUCUAAAUUUUCUUUAAAUAUAAAGUUAUUUUAUUAUUUGAGAGUCUAUUACUAUAAUUUAGUAAUUUUAGAAUUCUAUUUUCUUUUAGUAUUAGUUCCCUGUUUUUAUUANNNNNNNNNNNNNNNNNNNNNNNNNNNNNNNNNNNNNNNNNNNNNNNNNNNNNNNNNNNNNNNNNNNNNNNNNNNNNNNNNNNNNNNNNNNNNNNNNNNNNNNNNNNNNNNNNNNNNNNNNNNNNNNNNNNNNNNNNNNNNNNNNNNNNNNNNNNNNNNNNNNNNNNNNNNNNNNNNNNNNNNNNNNNNNNNNNNNNNNNNNNNNNNNNNNNNNNNNNNNNNNNNNNNNNNNNNNNNNNNNNNNNNNNNNNNNNNNNNNNNNNNNNNNNNNNNNNNNNNNNNNNNNNNNNNNNNNNNNNNNNNNNNNNNNNNNNNNNNNNNNNNNNNNNNNNNNNNNNNNNNNNNNNNNNNNNNNNNNNNNNNNNNNNNNNNNNNNNNNNNNNNNNNNNNNNNNNNNNNNNNNNNNNNNNNNNNNNNNNNNNNNNNNNNNNNNNNNNNNNNNNNNNNNNNNNNNNNNNNNNNNNNNNNNNNNNNNNNNNNNNNNNNNNNNNNNNNNNNNNNNNNNNNNNNNNNNNNNNNNNNNNNNNNNNNNNNNNNNNNNNNNNNNNNNNNNNNNNNNNNNNNNNNNNNNNNNNNNNNNNNNNNNNNNNNNNNNNNNNNNNNNNNNNNNNNNNNNNNNNNNNNNNNNNNNNNNNNNNNNNNNNNNNNNNNNNNNNNNNNNNNNNNNNNNNNNNNNNNNNNNNNNNNNNNNNNNNNNNNNNNNNNNNNNNNNNNNNNNNNNNNNNNNNNNNNNNNNNNNNNNNNNNNNNNNNNNNNNNNNNNNNNNNNNNNNNNNNNNNNNNNNNNNNNNNNNNNNNNNNNNNNNNNNNNNNNNNNNNNNNNNNNNNNNNNNNNNNNNNNNNNNNNNNNNNNNNNNNNNNNNNNNNNNNNNNNNNNNNNNNNNNNNNNNNNNNNNNNNNNNNNNNNNNNNNNNNNNNNNNNNNNNNNNNNNNNNNNNNNNNNNNNNNNNNNNNNNNNNNNNNNNNNNNNNNNNNNNNNNNNNNNNNNNNNNNNNNNNNNNNNNNNNNNNNNNNNNNNNNNNNNNNNNNNNNNNNNNNNNNNNNNNNNNNNNNNNNNNNNNNNNNNNNNNNNNNNNNNNNNNNNNNNNNNNNNNNNNNNNNNNNNNNNNNNNNNNNNNNNNNNNNNNNNNNNNNNNNNNNNNNNNNNNNNNNNNNNNNNNNNNNNNNNNNNNNNNNNNNNNNNNNNNNNNNNNNNNNNNNNNNNNNNNNNNNNNNNNNNNNNNGCUUGAAGCUGUGUGUAUGAUUUUCAUGAAUCAAGUUAACAUGGUUAAACAUCAGGUACAUCACUUGCACCCAUUGUUUCAGCAGUCGGUAGCAGGGGAAAUGGAGAUGGAACACAGGGAGAAUACAGCAAUAAUACUGGCUCAGGUUCUAUGCGGGUUCUCCCUGUGAGAAAUGUGAUUGCAGCAGCUGUCCCAUCGCGUCCUCCUGUAGUGACUGUUCCAAGUGCCGCACAGCCUGGUUUAGGUGUUUCUGCUUCACAGCCAUCUCCUGUUGUUUCUGCUUCACAGCCAUCUCCUGUUGUUUCUGCUUCACAGCCAUCACCUGUUGUUUCUGCUUCACAGCCAUCUCGCUCUGCUUACCAAUCGUCUCUUGCUGCUGAGAUUAAUUCACGAAUCAGGGAUCACAUUCGUAACAUGCAAGGAGAAAGCCAGGUUGGAUCAGGUAAGUUGCCACUAAAGUCUCAACAAGGAUGAUGUUUUUGUGAAACAAUAGUUCAGGGGGCUGCUCUUUUUUGUAUUCAGGUCAAAGAGAGUCAACUGUGGAGGGUUCAACUGUCAGAACUGAUGCAGGUCGUGUCUUUAGCAACGAACAUCUUAAUGAUGUAGAUACUGGAGCUGAGGAAUAUCAUAAUUCCUUGCCUAGAUUCCCACAAGGAAGUGAUGGCUUGAAGGUAUUAAUUUUUCUUCUAUAUGGUGGGAUCCUAUGUUAAUAUCUCAGUGAUUGUAUCUGUACUCUCAAUAAAUGUUAAAAACCUUUGUUAAGGACCAACCACAACCCAAAUGCGAAGGCAACAUAAGUAGUAAAGAGGAAGGGAGUGAUUCAAGCUCCAAAGCUGCAUCAACUUGCUCUGUUGGUGAAUCUUCAAGUUGUUCAAUUGGCGAGUCCCCGGCUGUUCCCCUUGGAUUGGGACUGGGGAGUUUGGAGCGUAAGGUAAGGGUUUUUUUUUUUUUGAAUAAAAAGUGUGAAAUUCUAUUAAGUUGUCUUUCUAUUAUUUAAUUCUUUGCAUUAAUGUCCUUGUUUGUUAUUCUGUAUUCGUAUUUUAUGGUGAUUUCCAUGAAGUAAUGUAUAGUGGGGGAUUUACUGUUAUGUUGCUGCUGAACAGCAGCUUCUGUAAAACAUAGUAGUGAAUAUACAGAUACAUGGAUUAGUAAGAUUGCCAGUAAAUAUAAAUAUUCUGGUCAAAUUAUUCUUUUUUUUUUUUUUUUGAAGUAAUGGAGGGUGGAGACUGAACUGCUGUUCGUGUUAAGCUGAAAGAUGUGUCCACCAUGUAAGGUGGUCCAAUUAUUUCUUUUUUGUCUUCAAGGAGCAAGACCAGUUAACUUUUUUAGCUUAACAUGGUAAUGGAACCAUAAAAGAUCACUAAGUCUAAUGAAUUAAGGCUUAGUCUCAAACUAGUUCGAGUUGGAAAUGUGAAUAAAGGAAGAUUGAUUUUCUGGUAUUUGGACAUAGGAGUAAAUCAGACAGGAAAGGGAAAUUAGAAAAUGGUUGGCAUCCUGUUUCCAUUGUACUCAUUGGGGCUGCCAGUUGCUGUUAUUUUUUGGCCUUUUUCCUUAUGAAGGAGCAUUCCAAGAGGCUUGCAUUCCUUGGGUAGUGAAUCUUUGAAUUCUCUUAGCCAAAUUGUUAUCUUAACUUGAUAUGUGACUCCUGGAUGUAAGUAUAUUGUUGCCUUUCAAGUGGAUUCUGUUAUGUUCUUCUAGUUCUGAUUCCUUUUGUUAGAUAUUCUUAUAAAAAGGUGCCAAAACUCAUGUUUGUUGCAUGUUUAGGAUUUUGGCACUACAGGUUUAUGUGGUUUGUUGAAUGAAAUAAUCAUGGAAUGAAAAAUUAACUCCUAAGAAUGAAAUAAGACCAAAGAGUCGUAAUUGCUUGGUUAUUCGGUUUGCAUGGCGGGAUAGUUAUUCCAUUAUUAUUAUGGGUUUUGUUGAAUUGGUCUGUGAAUGGUUAAUUUGGCUGGAAUAUUAUAAGGGUAUUUAGCUUAUUAGACUACUAAGAUUAGAUUUAUUACUAUUACUUCUUAUUCGAUUAUAUAUCUACUUUAUUGUUAUUUUUUUGUUUAAGGGUUUUAACAUGUUACCUUCGUAUACAUCCUAUAAAUGCAUGGGUGGUUUGCUAUCAUAGCUAGGCUGCUUAAUAAUAUUAGUUAUGAUUUUCUCUCAUUGAAUUAAGUGAUCAAUGAUGCAAUGAUUGUGGUUGUUGCCAAUUCCUGUGGUCGUUAACUGGAUUUCUCUUUUAUUUUCUUUGAUCUUUUUAAUCUCUGUAAACUCUAUACUGCUGUGCUACGUCAUAAAGAACUUUAAGAGGCACCAGGGAUGCAGACUAUGGACAUUUAUAAAAUCUCAAGAGCCCAAAAAAAAAAAAAUCAAUCAGAUUCCCCCGGUCCAAAUCAAUAUCAAGGAUCAGACUUUUUUAUCAACAAAAUAAUUGAGUGGCAUCCCACUUGUGCUUUGGAUGAUUGUUUAUAUUCAAGAUGGAAACAGAGUGGUCAGUAUGAACCCGCAUAACUUAAUUUUGGAAAAAGGAGAGCAAAUGCUAUCCGAAAGAAAUAUUUUCGUUCGACUUUCCAAAUACUUAAAAAGACGAACUUAUAAAGAUAUACAUGGCAAAACUUCCACUUAGAUUAAGCCCACCAAGCCCAAAUCUAUUUUUUUUUUAAAUAAAAACAUAUAAGAAUAUUAACAUGGUACCAAAACAGGGGUACCAACCCAUUUACAAAAGAAUUACAGCUUAGUAAGCAUAUCAAUGACAAUGCAGAAUCCCAAAUCAAAUUUUGAAAUCACCCAAAUAAUUUUGAGGAGUCUUGACAUUGAAAUUGCAAUGAAGAAUCCCAACAACCUUCUAGCCCUUGAACACCAAGAAGGAACUUACGCCACAUGGCAUUAUCAUCUGAGAUAAAUCUCCAUUCCCAUUUAGCGAGCAAUAUGUUAUUAGAUUCCUCAGUAGCUUUUAUACCCAAUCGUUCACUUUUAAAGUCUGCAUCAUGACCUUGUCCCACCCAAUCAAAUGAUAUUUCUUUAUGUCUUACUUAUCGACCCAAAGGAAGCUCUGUUGCAGAGAUUCAAUUCUUUUGGCAACACUAGCAGGGAUUAGGGAAAAGAGACAGAGAGUUCAUAUGGAGGAUUUAGAGAGCACAUUUAAUGAGAGUCGAUCUUCCUCCUUCGGACAAUGUAUUCUUAUUCUACUUGGAUAAUAGUUGAAUGCAGGUAAUCUCCAUCCAGGCAAAAAGGUCAUUGACCUCUGAAUUGUUUAAAUUUUUAAGGAGAUGAAAACGUCAAUGGAUUCCACGGUUGUAGAUAUCAACUAUUCACAAGUCUUAAACUUGGCAAUCGAUAAAAUAGAGAGAAGGACCUCUUUUGAAGGUCUACCAAACCAAAUAUUAUUCCAAAAACUAAUCCACCUUUUGUUGGCCACCUUGAAAUGAAUAUGGUUACAAGUUCAUCCAGUUCCUCUCUAUCCACCUCCAAGAACUAGAGCCAUAAGCACCUCCAAGAAUUAGAGCCAUACACAAGCAAAUCUUGGCCUAAUGCAUUUACAGUAUAAGGAAUCUUUGCAAAAGAAGAACCUCCAUUUCAUUGCGAGCGAGAGAUUGAAGCGCCGCAGACCCCAUGCUUGAUUGGACACUUGCGAUUUGCAUGUUNNNNNNNNNNNNNNNNNNNNNNNNNNNNNNGGAGUAAAGUUAAAAGCUAUGAUUCAUCGGAGGAAUAAGGUAGGAGUUAAAUAAGAAUUGAAUCAAAGAGGUUGUAGAUGUUAAAUGGCAACAAUUCUGUGUCAUACUCACUCAUGCAAACCAAACAACCUGUGUGAUAAGUUAUGAGCUCUUGUACUUUUGGUCCAAAUGAUUGCCAAAGAGCACCAUUCUACCAUGGGCAUAGAAGAGAUCAGCCUGUGCUAUUCAAUUCAUCAGAUUAUUCUUUAGUUCUACUUGACAAUCUAGAUACUCUUCUUCUGAUUGUCUAUACAUUGCAUGUUGUUAAAUCGUCAAGGUGCUUGAGGGUGCAUGAUUUAAGCUACAGAGUGCUGUGUUUCUGUUAUUGAGUGAUGUUUUCAUUAUUUGUUAUAUUUUCUGCUACAUUGUGGUUAAAUUUGUUUCUCUUUGUUACUGUGAUUAGAGAUGUAGCAAGCAGGCAAAAUUAGGGGUCAAGAAUGGUGGUGGAAUAAAUACAAAUAAUGUCUCGUUUGAUCAGAACCGUAGCCCUGUAACUAAUGGCCGGCAGGUUCUGCAAUCUCUUGCCGCCAGCAGCUCUGCUGGAAAUACGUUAGGGACAGACGAUUCACACUCGAGUCAACUACCCUCUGCUAGAAUGAUGGAGAAUAGGGCAGGAAGGAGGCAAGAUUCUAAUAAUAGACGGGACACUGCUAAUGUGAUGUCUCAGGUCCUUCAAGGCCCUGCAUUAGAUGGUUUGCUGGCAGGCAUUUCAGGCCAAGCGGGUGUUGGUUCUCCAAAUGUGUUGAGAAAUAUGCUGCAACAAUUAACCCAGAGUCCUCAGAUCAUGAACACCGUCAAUCAAAUUGCUCAGCAGGUCGACAGCCAGGAUCUUGAUAAUAUGUUUUCAGGGUCAGGCGGACAAGGUGGUGGCAUUGAUUUGUCUAGGAUGGUCCAACAGAUGAUGCCUAUUGUCUCCCGUGCUUUUGGUGGUGGAUCUACUGCAUCUCAUCAGCCAUUUCCUGCUGUGGAACCUGAACCACUACAGAAUGAUGAGAGAACAAGCGGGGCUGACAAGCCUGUUGAUCAAGAUAUUCAGGUAUUUAGACCCCCCAUUGUCACAACUAUAAGACAUGUACAGAAACAUUGGUGAUUGCUGUUGCAAUACUCUGUAAUUCAUUUUUGGUUGUGUCAUCUUAUAAUUAAUUUAACCUAGAAAUUUUAAAAUAACUUGUAAUCUAGUUUACAACUAACCUGCCUGGUACUGGGUGUGAGGUGCUGGGUUUCAUGUGCUCAUGUAUGUUGGCACUAGAGGGAGAAUGGAGAGAGGGAACUAAAAUACUUUGGAACAUUUCCAGGGUGGUUGUAUCUCUCUCUCCUCGCUCCCCCUCUUUUUUCACAAAGUUGGCAACUAAGGUAAAAUUGUAAUUUGAUGGAAGGAAAAUAUUUUUCCAGUCCAAGAGGAGUUAUUUGUUCUUGGUACUGUCUUUAAGAGUAAAUGUGUCCUAUGUGCCACUGGAUUUGUGGCCUUGCUGGCAAGCCUUUGCUUGUCUUCCAUUCUGGCUAUCCCAAAUGGUUGUCACCUCGAGCGAGAGACAAUGGAUCAGUUAAAAAAUCAAGUUAUUGAUUGAGUAAUUUGAAUGUAUGAUGAAGAUUAUAUCCUGUCAUUAAUAGUUUAUACUCUGAUUUAACUAUUCCAAUCUUCUCUGUUGUCUAGAUAAACAUUCAGCCAGUAGCUCAAAUGAUUGAACAUGCCAGUUCACCAGGAGAUGUUUUCCAUGCUAUUGUUGAAAAUGCUGUUCAGUUGCAUGGCACUAGAAGUACUAAUGAAGAUCUCAUGAAUGAGUUAUUCAGCAAUGAGGAUCUUGCUAGCGUAAGUGUUCUUUUUAUGCACUCAACACUUUUUUUAUUUUUUAUUUUUAAAGUUCUUGUGCUCUACCAGAGUUUCUCAAGCUAUAUUGCAUGUCUGUGCUGUGUAUAUCAUGUACUGGUCAUUUUAUAGAAUCGUCUGAUAUGUUUCUGAUAUUGCUGCACUUGAGGAUGUUCGCCCCAGCUUAAAAUGCAUACUUUUAUUCAUGCAGGAAUAUGCAGAAAUGCUAAGACGAGAUAUAUAUCAACGGUUUCAAGAUGACUUGGGACAGGACAAGUGAUAAUUUUUUCUAUUUGUUUCUUUGGGAGUGGGAUUUUUUCACUAUAAAAUGGUGGGACAGCACGCUGAUCACAGGGCUUUUCAAUUGGUAUUGCACUCUUAAUUAGAGUACUGUACAAAUUAGGUAUUUAAGAUGUGCUUUUGAAGUUAUAGUUGAUUGCAAAUUACAGUUUAUCUGUCAGUCCUUAAUAUGCUGUUUCUGAUUCAUUCUAAAAUUAAUAUGAAUUCAUGAACUCCAGUUUUUUUGGAGGAUGAGAAGUGUAAUUUUUCGUUUGUCAACUAGAGAUUAUUUUGAUUUUUGGAAUUCCACGUGUCCAAUUGAUAUUCUUUUGUAAUAUGAAGAAAUUGUAGAGUAGGAUUACAGGGGAAAGAUAUAAGAAGGCAGGGAGGUGAUAAGAGCAAAGAGAAGACAGGAAGCAGAGAUAAGGUAUAUCCAGACUGCGAAUCUUGGUAAGUGUUUUAUCAUGUGGUGGAGAUAUUUAUGCUGUGGUCUGUUAUAGUUCUGUUACAUUUGGGUACAGAAAGCAUGUUUAACUAGCAAAUGAUUGGGUAACUUGGUCGUGUUUGGAACUAGCGCGUAAGAAAAUUAGGGAAAAGCCUUCCCUUUAGGUAACUGUGAGGAGUAUGGUCUCAAUUUAGUUGUCUUAGUAAGCAAUAGACGUUUGUAUACCUUUCUAAGUUGUAUAGCUUCUUAUUGACCUUGUCUUUGUUAUCCAAAACUGUUAAUACUUUUUUUCAUUAAUAAAAGAAAGCAGGCUGCUUAAAUUCAUUAUGAUUUCUUUAUAAUGCUAGUGAUACACGUCUGUGAGUAAAUGUUGUACAAAAGAUUUUUUCCCUUCUACUUUCUAUUUUCACUUGAAUUUUUUGUUGUGGAUAUUCCUUAUUCAAAAACAAGGUGGGUGAAACUCAUGAUAAAGAAGCGAGUAAUCUUCUAGAUUUUAGUUGUCUUAAUAUAUAUAUAUAUAUGCUUCCUUUUGUCUUUUUCCAAACUACCAUUUCUUUUUCUUUUCUUCUCUUGUUAGUUUACUUAUAUUUACUCAAGCAUAGUGUUAGUUUUAUUUAUAAUCCCAAAAAUUCAAAUUACUUAAUGUUUUCUCUUGUGCCCAAAUUGUUUUCUUUUGAUAUUUAGAUUUUACAUUCCCCCUUCCCACUUCUAUUCUUCUUGCUUCAUGCCACUCUUCAUGCUACUUAUUUUGCAAUUCAUCGGAUAAAAGUGAUGCCACUCCCGUUCUUUUCAAAUUCUUGUUGCAAAGCUUCUCCUCUUGUUAGAUUACGUCGAACAUUUGUAGUGUUGCUUUGAUUCUAGAGGCACAAUGUUAACAUGUAGGAUGCUCGUGUUUUCGUAUGGGAUCAAAUCUUCCCUCUUUUUCCAAUAUUUGCACGUGGGUAGGGAUAGCUUUGCAAUUCACUGGAUAAAAGUGAUGCCGCGCCCGUUCUUUUCAAAUUCUUGUUGCAAAGCUUCUCCUCGUGUUAGAUUACAUCGAACAUUUAUAGUGUUGCUCUGAUUCUAGAGGCACAUUGUCAACAUGUAGGAAGCUUGUGUUUUCGUAUGGGAUCAAAUCUUACCUCUUUUUCGAAUAUAUGCACCUGGGUGGUAGGGAUAGCAAAGUUGGGUUCUUAUUAUAAUAAUGGUUCCAAUAUACCUUCAAGACUGAAAUGUUUUCUGUAAUCAAACUCACCGUAUUAGGAAUAAGAUAUUAUGAUUGUCAAAUGUACAAAAUUUGUAUAUACCCAUUAGCUUAUUAUACUCGUUACGCCAUACUCUUAAUUAUUUUACAUUAGUUAGAUGUAUUUAUAGAUGUUUAAAUCUUUUAUCUUAGUACUCGGAGUCUUAAUUUUAAACGAACAUAUGCAUAAUUGUUUUUUAUUUUGUUCAAUUAAGUGCUUAAAUAUUUUAUUUUGAAUUAAAAGAUGCAUAAUCUUCUUUAUUUCAUUCAAUUAGUACCCAAAAUUUUGUUCUGAGCUUUUAUUAGAUGCUCUAUAUUUCCCAUUUGUAUUUAAUAUAUAUAUAUAUAUAUAUGUUAAUAAUACAAAGCUAAUAAUAAGUAUAUCCAUUUGUUCGCACACUUCAUAUUUCCUUGAGAUUAAUACGUAGUAAUCAAUAAAAGGGCUGUAAUUUAUAUUUCAUUUUAAUUAUUAAGAUAUUUUUAGAUAUUGCUUUUAUGUUUUUUGUAUUAUUUAUAAAUUAUAUUAUCAUGACAUUAAAUUAAUAUUACUAACUGAUGUGAACAUUCAAUAAAACAUAAUUAUAAAUACCAUAAUAUUAAAUUAAACACAAUUAGAAAAUAUUAGAGAUCUAAUUGUUCAAAUUAAGAGCCUGAGUAUUAAUUGAUACACGUAUAUUCAAAAUUAGAUAUUUAAUUAAACAAAAAAAAUUAUAUUCAUAAAAUAAAAAUUCAGAAAAGUAAAUUGACUAAGCGUGCACCCAUGCCGCCCCUCCCCUCCUCCUCUCUCUCUUUUCUCUGCAACGCCAACGCCCCCGGUUCGUCCCAUCAGCCUUCGCCUCUCCCCGUCUGCUGCUCCGGUUAGACAGGCGGCUCGGGGCUGCCCGUUUCUGAUGCAGUAUUGCUGCCAUUAAGUCGAGUCUUCGCGGAUUCCCGGUCACCGCCUCGCCUUCUGUCAGUCUCGGCCGAGAAGAAGACACAAGUAUUAACCUCCUAGCUUUCCAGACGCUCACGACUGCUCUCGAACAUUCACUCUAGUCCAAGAAGUAUUUUUCUAAUUUUUCCAUGUUUUUCCCUUUCUUCUUGCUAUUUCCGCUAAUUUUAUUUUCUUUAAUUAAUUAAAGCAAAAUUUACGAAGGCGUUUGUCUCACUUUAUUAUAAGUUCUCUAACGGUGUAGAUAAAUAUAAGAUAUGAAAUUUUGGCUUAACUGGAACUUAUUAGCUAAGUGUUUGAGUAAAUUAUUUUAUCUGGAUUUAAAUGGGUCCAAUUCUCACCUGUAGAAACAUAAUUUUCUUCCGCACUCAAUUUGAUGGACUGGGCACUUGUUAGCAUUUUUGCUGUGUUGGAAUCGAGAUACAUUUCUUUAUGAUUUUUCUACUGAUGUGCUAUAGUUGUUUGUCUGUGAUUGUUGAAAAGAUGUGUGCAUACUCGUUGAUUAGCAAAUUAAUUUGUGCAUACGCUCCUGUUUUGUUAAGCGGCGCCAUACUGGCACCACUUGGAAUAGUUUUGUAGCUGUACUAUGGGAAAGCUUUUCUCUGUUUAAUGACUUGGUACCUCUUCCUUGAGUAAUAGGCUUUCUUGAGCAGGCUUCGAUGCAUAAUAUUGCUCGAUGGUUUUGCUUUUUUUUUAUUUCUUUUGGGUGGUUGGAAGAGGGAGGGGGGGAGGUGGUGUUUGUUGGUUUAGACUUACGUAGACCAUUGCACAAAAAAAUUUAGAUGUUUUACUGGGGAAUAAGUCCGAUGACGUCAUUACUUGUUAUGAAGUUCUAUUUUGACUCCUUGGGAAUUGCUUAAUGAUGCCAGCAUGUUGAGAUAUUCCUUGGUUUAGAACUGGAUAAAGCCUUGUAUCAAUUAGGUGUGUAUCACAUGGAUUCAGUUUUUCAGUUUAGAACUGAACAGUCAAGUGUUUGGUUGGCUCAGUUGGUUGGUUUUGUAACAUCUUCUGUUAGUUCUCAUUGGCCAUUACAAUUUUGGCCUCAUCAGUUUUUGUUGGUUUGUUCAGUUGUUUUAAACUGAAUUGCGCACUUGCUCCCCCCGGAUAAUACGCCACAGCUUUACAUGGAGGAGGCGCAGGUGAAGACAAAGAAACCUGGGACUCGCCUCUGUUGCAUCUGUAAUCAGAAAAGGGCUGCCCUCAAAAGACCUAAAACCCUUGAACAGGUGACUUCUCACUUCCUUGUUUUUAUCCUUUUUGAUAGUUGAAAUCUUUGCUUUAUUUUUUUUCAUUAAUAUUUGGUUUGCCUGCCAUGAAAAAGAUGGAAAGCAACUAGCAAAAAGAGAAAAUAAUUUCCGCAGUUGAUAGGUUUAAAGAAUAGUUUGUAAUAGAAGUUCUGGUUGCUCCUUGGUUAUGUAAUGGCAAAUGGGUGACCAAUAUAUAACUGUCCCAUAAUUAUUAAAAAAAAUAACUAUACCAUAAUUGAUUUCUGUGUUGUAUAUGAUUACUUAGUAAAAAGAGGAAAUUGCAGCACUUUUAGUAUUUAUGCUUGUUGAUUCUUGGUUUUUUACUAUAUUGGACCAUUGAAAAAACGUAAGUGAAACCGUGGUUGAAUUUUGUUGAAGUUAUUUAAAUGUAUUCCACUCAAAUCAAUUACUCAUGUGAAUUGUCUGUAUCCUGUAAGAGGGUUGUGUUGGUGAUCCUUGAUUGCAUUAAUAUUUUUAGAGUAUGCCAAAAAUUUUCUUUCCAAAAGAUAUGCAGGGAGUGUUUUUAUGAGGUCUUUGAGGAAGAGAUCCACCAGGUGAUUGUGGAAAACCAACUGUUCAAGCCUGGUGAGCGAAUUGCAAUUGGGGCCUCCGGUGGUAAAGGUGAAUCAUUAGAUAAUUUGUUAGUGUUUAUAGCUGUCAAUAGUCUCAAUUGUGAACACAUGUAAAAUGACGUUAUAUUUGGAUUGUGAAUGCUAUUACACUGUUCUUGGAACAAACGAAUUCUACCAGAGAAAAAAGAAUUCAAUUGCAAAUCCAUAUUUUAUUAUUUGAAUUAUUCCAAAUGUGGAAUUUAUUUUGAAAUGAGUCCCAUAUGAAAUAUGUUUUAUUUUUAAUCCUAUCAACAUUUAUACAAUUUCAAAUUGUAAAUAAACUUGAGAGUUUAGAAGAAAAUGUUUCUUAAAAUGUCUUUUGCUACACUUGUUUGUGUUUCCUCCAGUGUAAUGAUUGAAUUUUUUUCAGAUGAAGUGUAGUCAUUGAGUUGAAUUCCGUAAAGUAUUUUGAAAUUUCAUGAUUUAUUUCGAACAAAAAACCAUUUAUAAACAAAUAUUCUGUUUAAUUCAUUUAUGAAAGAAAAUGAAAUCGUGUUGUUCAUUCCUUUCAACAUGACCUUAAGCUCAAGUUUGUGGAUUUUUUGAAUCNNNNNNNNNNNNNNNNNNNNNNNNNNNNNNNNNNNNNNNNNNNNNNNNNNNNNNNNNNNNNNNNNNNNNNNNNNNNNNNNNNNNNNNNNNNNNNNNNNNNNNNNNNNNNNNNNNNNNNNNNNNNNNNNNNNNNNNNNNNNNNNNNNNNNNNNNNNNNNNNNNNNNNNNNNNNNNNNNNNNNNNNNNNNNNNNNNNNNNNNNNNNNNNNNNNNNNNNNNNNNNNNNNNNNNNNNNNNNNNNNNNNNNNNNNNNNNNNNNNNNNNNNNNNNNNNNNNNNNNNNNNNNNNNNNNNNNNNNNNNNNNNNNNNNNNNNNNNNNNNNNNNNNNNNNNNNNNNNNNNNNNNNNNNNNNNNNNNNNNNNNNNNNNNNNNNNNNNNNNNNNNNNNNNNNNNNNNNNNNNNNNNNNNNNNNNNNNNNNNNNNNNNNNNNNNNNNNNNNNNNNNNNNNNNNNNNNNNNNNNNNNNNNNNNNNNNNNNNNNNNNNNNNNNNNNNNNNNNNNNNNNNNNNNNNNNUUUAGGUUUCUUUUCAUGGUUCUGAUAGUCAGCCAAGCAGUCAAUAGCAAUUUAGGCCUCAUGUCAAAGGCAUCCACGGAAUGUUUCCAGUAGUUUUGACUUUUAUUGCACCUUUAGCAGGUGGUUUAUUAAUUAUUUUGGAAAAGGUUAAUUCCAUUUUCAAACCUUUCAAAUUUUCUCCAGAAUCCAUGAAUAUAUCUACUAUCUCCUUUUUGAGUUUUGAACAUUCUGUUGUAAAGCAGAAUCAAGUUCUAAAUUAAAUGGCAUUGGCGUAUUUGUUUAUGCAUGAUACCACUAUGCAUUUGUCUUUGUUGGCAUGGCUGGACUCCAUAUUUAUAUUCAAUAGGAAUAGGCAUUCAUUUUGGUGCAUCCUCGUGCAGAUUUGUUGCUGGUUUAACCACACAUUAGCCCUUAUUACAUUCUGUUGAUUAAAGAUUGAAAUAUUUAUGGAUUUCUUUAAGGCUCUUGAUCGAGGUGCUGCAUUAUUGAAAGUAGAUAAGGUGGCUACAGGACAUAAUGCAGAUGACAUUGCCGAAACAGUUCUCUUAAACAUAUUGCGUGGGGAUAUCGCUAGGUAGUGACGCACUAUUUAAUUUAUUUCUUUCAUGGUUGUACUCGUAUCCUCUUUUGGUAAGGAAACUGAGUUUAUGCCUUUGACAUUUUAGACUGAGUAGAUGCACAUCAAUAACUACUGGUGAAGAUGGACCAAUCCCACGAUGCAAACCUUUUAAGUACACUUACGAAAAGGAGAUUGUGAUAUAUCCUUUUAUUAGAAAUUUGUGUUAGAUGGAAACCUAAUAAUGUUAGUUUGGAGUUGAGAUGUCUUGGCACCUUAACAGAUGUCCACGUAUGCUUAUUUCAAGAGGCUUGACUACUUCUCCACAGAAUGUAAUUAUUGUUUUCCCAUUUCUUUCUUUUUCUGGUUGUUUUUUUCUUUUAUAAUUUAUUUUUGCAAAUUAAGAAUUGGUAUUUUUGAGCUGCAGGCAUAUACUCUCCAAAUGCAUAUCGUGGAUUUGCCCGUGAGUUCAUCAAAGAUUUGGAAAGAAUAAGGUCAAUCACUUUUCCGAUUAUUGAUUUGAUAAAUCUUGAGAAAAAGACACAAAUCACUUUUGCUCUUUGGUUUCUCUUUCUAAUUCCUUGUAUGGUCAUAGUACUUGAAACAGAAAAAUCAGAAAAAUGAGAUUGCAGAAUGUAUCCACAGUCUUCUUCUUUUCUAACCUUCUGUGUCUGGAAAAGUUUGGGUUCAUUACGAGAGAACCCAACAAUAAAAAGAAAAGUACUCAAAACUGUCUGAAAUUAUUAUUUGCCUACACAUUUAUUCCUUCCAGAAAUGGUUAUAGAUGUACCCAUUCUAGGACAAUUGUAGAAAAUAAGAAGAAAUUAGGUUGUAUAUUUUCUGUUUCUUUUUUUUUUAUUUGCUGUCUACGGAGGAAGUUACAAACAGAUUUCCUCCUCCCCAUAAAAUUAUUAGAAUCUUGUUAGAAUUUGUUGGCUUUGUUAGCAUUUAGGGUGUAUAAAUACCCAUCAUUCAUGAUGAAAAAAAAAGAUAGAUGAGAGGCAACAUUUCUUCUCAAAUUUCUUCAUAGUAUCAGAACUAUACCAGAUCCAAGAAGGGUGAUCCCUGCUGAGCUGUAAUCACAAAUGGCCACAGGCGAGCUUCCGUCUUCUCCAGAGGUCUCCUCUGGUUUCUAUCAUCACACAGCAACCAGCAACAUUGCGAGUGAGAUGUCUUCGUCCUGCAUUAUAGGACACAAACUCAACGGCAGUAAUUACCUACAGUGGUCGUCCUCUGUUCGAUAGUUCAUCCGAAGGAAGGGUCACUACGGACAUCUUACUGGCGAAGUUGUAUCUCCUCCAGCGACUGACUCAAGCACUCACGUAUGGGAGAUUGAAGACAACAUGGUGAUGUCGUGGCUCAUCACGUCAAUGACCCCAGAAAUUGGAGAGAAUUUUUUACUCUAUGAAACUGCUCACAAAAUCUGAAAAGCAGCUCAGGAAUUUUACUCCAGCAAAGAAAACACUUCCGCCAUUUUUGAGAUAGAGUCCGUGCUUCAUGAUCUUCGGCAAAGCAAGUUAAGCGUCACUCAGUAUUACAACGCUUUAACUCGUAACUGGCAGCAGAUGGAUACAUUCGAAGAGCGUCGAUGGAGCUGCCCCGAAGAUGCGAAGAACUUCAAAUCGUUCGUCGAAAAGAAACAUGUCUUCAAAUUCUUGCUGCGGUUGAACAGGAAUCUCGACGAGAUUCAAGGAUGCGUGUUGAGUACCAAACCCUUGCCGAGUCUUCGGGAGGCGUUCUUUGAAGUCCGACGCGAACAGAGCCGCAAGAAGGUUAUGAUGGUUGAUGUUGAGCAGACCCACCUGGCCGAAGACUCUUCAGCAUUCACAACUUGAGCUGUCGACGCUCGAACGAAGAAGAUGAGGCCCUAGUGUGAUCACUGUAAGAAUCUAGGGCAUACUCGUGAGCGCUUCUGGAAGCUUCAUGGGAAGCCAAAUGACUGGAAAGCCUUCAGUGAGUGGAAAUCCGCUAAGGCAGAAACCUCAAGCAAACAUCAGGGCAAUCAUGUAAUUGCUAAAGAAAUGCUCUCUUGUGCUAUGGAGAGCAGCCCUUUCAAUCCUGAAUAGCUGGAAGCCCUCUAGCAUAUUUUGUCAAAAAAUUUCUACCCGGUCAGUGCCUCUGUGGCACACAAAGGUAAUAUCCUUGGUUUAUCUAUUUUUCCAGAAAAAGGACAUGUGUGGAUAGUAGACUCUGGAGCUUCUGACCAUAUGAGUGGAGAUGCCUCAAUAUUUCAUAAAUACAGCAAGUGUGAAGAAAUUUUUUCAAUCAGAAUUGUUGAUAGUUCUCUUUCAAAAGUAGCUGGAAUGGGCUUUGUAAAUUUAUCUCCAAAUUUAACUCUAUGUUCAGUUCUCUAUAUUCUAAAUUUGGAUUGUAAUUUACUAUCAGUUAGUAAGUUAUGUGAAGACUUAAAAUGUACUGCAAAAUUUGUCCAUAAUAUGUGUGAAUUUCAAGACUUGGACUCGGAGAAGACGAUUGACAGUGCUAGGAUGAGCUCAGGAUUAUACCUGCUUCAAAUCAACACUUCUAGAAGACAAGCUCACAAAGCAGUAUGUGCAAACUCUGUUUAUGCAAAUAAUGAUCAUGAUAUCAUGUUAUGACACUAUAGACUAGAACAUCCAAAUUUUAUGUAUCUAAAAAGGAAGUUUCCUUCGCUAUUCAAAGAAAAAUAUCCAGUUUAUUUUCAGUGUGAAGUAUGCCAAUUUUCUAAACAUGUUCGAAGUUCAUUCCCUAGUUUACCAUACAAAUCAUCAAAACAGUUUACAUUGAUUCAUAGUAAUGUAUGGGGACCAUCCAAGAUCCCUAAUAUCACCGAAACUAGAUGGUUUGUAUUCUUCAUUGAUGACCAUACAAGAAUUACGUGGGUAUUUCUUAUGAAAGAAAAAUCAGAAGUUGGAUCUCUAUUUAAAAAAUUCCAUACAAUGAUUCGAACCCAAUUUCAAGCUACUAUCCAAGUGUUGAAAUCUGACAAUGCUUGUGAAUAUUUUGAAGCCACCCUUGAAAAAUACUUUACUGAACAUGGAAUUAUUCACUAAAGCUCUUGUGUUUAUACCCCACAACAAAAUGGCAUAAUCGAAGGGAAAAAUUUGACAUAUUCUUGAAGUAGUUAGAUCAAUUAUGUUCACCACUCAUGUACCAAAAUUCCUCUAGGGAGAGGCAGUUCUUUCGGCUAUCUACUUGAUAAAUCGGAUGCCUUCCCGGAUCUUACAAUUUCAAUCGCCUUAUGCCAUUCUUUCACAAACCUUUCUUACAUCUCAUAUUUUAAAUACAUUACCACUCAAAGUUUUUGGUUGUUCAGCUUAUGUCCAUAUUCACACACACCUCCGUGGGAAACUUGACCCAAGAGCCAUAAAAUGCUAUUUUAUUGGGUACUCUGUUAAUCAGAAAUGCUACAAGUGUUUAGUGCCGGAAACCUGUCGCUUCUAUAAUACAAUGAAUGUCACAUUUUUUUAAAAUCAAUCUUUUUACCCCAUAACUGAUAUUCAGGGGGAGACAUUUACUUAGGAAUAUCAGUUAUGGGAUGUGAGUAUACCUCCUCUAUAUCCACAGAGUCAUUUCUCACCAGACAAACCUUCCCUAGAAUCUGAACCAAAGCUAGUUACAGAGAACACAUUACCUGCAGCUAGUGAGCUACGUGUCUAUACUAGAAGAAACAAAGAAAAAGCACCCGAAUCAUCCAAGCCCUGCCAUGAAUCCACCCUGGAUCCAGGUAAUGUAAUCUCUGCUUUUACUUCAGAUACUGAUAUUGAUGUUCCUAUUAUUUUGAGAAAGGGGACUCGAACAUGCACUAAAUAUCCUAUAUAAGAUUAUGUUUCUUUGGACAAGCUGUCUUCGAAGCAUCAUGCUUUUAUAUGCAGGAUAGACAAUAGUUCACCAAUGCCCAAAACAAUUCAUGAAGCUUUGUAAAUACUUGAACGGAAGAUAGUUGUUAAAGAGGAAAUCAAGGCAUUUGAAAAGAAUAAAACAUGGGAAUUAGUGGACUUACCUCCAGGAAAACACCAAGUGGGGUGCAAAUGGGUCUUCACAACUAAAUAUAAUCCAAAUAGGAGUGUGAAUCGGUAUAAGGCUCGACUGGUAACCAAAGGCUACACUCAGUCAUAUGGAGUAGACUAUCAAAAGACCUUUAUUUCAGUAGCCAAACACAAUAUUAUUCGGGUACUUCUUUCACUUGCAUCUAAUCUUGAUUGGCCAUUUUACCAACUAGAUGUGAAGAAUGUAUUUCUUGAUGGUGAUCUAGAGGAAGAAGUAUAUAUGAAUAUACCAUCAGGGUUUGAACUAACAGAUAAUCCUCAGAAAGUGUACAAAUUGAAGAAAUCACUCUAUGGCUUAGAACAAUCUCCAAGUGCAUGGUUUGAUAGAUUAACAAGAGCUGUAAAAUAUGAAGGAUAUGAACAAUGUCAAUCCGAUCAUACACUAUUUGUCAAACAUUGCACCUCAGGUAAGAAAGCCAUUUUGAUUGUAUACGUAGAUGACAUCAUUCUUACAGGUGAUCACAUUGAGGAGAUUCAGAAACUCAAGCAAUUUCUAACCCAAGAAUUUGAAAUUAAAAAUUUAGGGAUGCUGAAGUACUUUCUUGGUAUGGAAGUGGCUAGAUCUAAGAAAGGAAUUUCAAUAUCUCAACGAAAGUACGUUCUGAAUCUCCUAAAGGAGACUGGGAUGUUAAGAAGCAAGCCUGUUGACACUUCUAUGGAUUCAACCAUUAAACUUGGAUCCAAAAACAGUGAUAAAACAGUUAAUAAAGGGAGGUACCAAAGACUUGUUGGGAAGUUUAUCUACCUAGCGCAUACAAGACCUGACAUCAGCUUUGCAGUGAGUACAGUAAGUCAGUUCAUGAAUCAGCCAACUGAGAAACACAUGAGAACUGUGUAUCGAAUUUUGAGAUAUCUUAAAAAGACACCCGAACAAGGAUUGUUCUUUCAAAAGACAAAUAAAAGAGAUGUUGAAAUUUACACUGAUGCAGAUUGGGCAGGCUCUACAAAUAAUAGAAGAUUUACAUCAGGAUAUUGUACUUAUGUUUAGAGGGAACCUGGUCACCUGGCGAAGUAAGAAACAAUCAGUUAUAUCUCGCAGCAGUGCAGAAUUUGAAUUUAGGGCCCUUGCUCAUGGAAUAUGUGAAGGUAUGAAAGAGAAUACUUGUCGAAUUAAAGGCCCCUAACAACGUGCUUAUGAAGGUGUGGUGCGACAAUUAAUCAAUCAUCCGUAUGACCAAAAACUCUAUACAUCAUGACAGAACCAAACAUGUGGAGAUCGAUCGUUAUUUUAUCAAAGAGAAAUUAGAAAAUGGAACUAUAACACUGAUGCACAUUUCAACCAGUCAACAGAUUGCAGACAUUCUAACGAAAGCUUUAUCUAAAAGAACUUUCGAUGACAACAUCCAAUUUAGUUUUACUCAACAUAUAUGUAAACUAGAUUGAGGGGGAGUGUAGAAAAAUAAUAAGAAAUUAGGUUAUAUAUUUUUUGUUUCUUUUUUUUUUUAUUUGCUGUAUACGGAGGAAGUUACAAACAGAUUUCCUUCUCCCCAUAAAAUUGUUAGAAUUUUGUUAGGUUUGUUAGCAUUUAGGGUGUAUAAAUACCCAUCAUUCAUGAUAAAAAAAAAAAAAAAAAAAGAUAGAUGAGAAGCAACAUUUCCUCUCAAAUUUCUUCAACAAUGUUAGGACAUACAACUAUUUCUUAAGAGUAGCUAACUUCCUUACUGAAGGAACCAACUCCGACAUACAAGCAAAACAAAAACUAAUGCAGAUAAAAUUAAAUAAGCAAAACGUGAACUGUUCAGACAGCAACAGGCUAUCAUGUUACUGUCAUGUAUGAAUAUCCUAAUGAGAACACUUUCUCCCUUGAAAACAAGCUUGUCCUGAAGUGCCAAAGUAAGAUAAAGCUGCUGGUUCCCAAGAUGCCUUUGCUUCUGGACUCGAUUCACUUGGAUGAAAUAUAUAGAAAGUCGGGCAACAUCCAUCACUUCUGUAUUACUGUCAGGAUUCUUUAGUAGAUCCACAACAAAACCUUCAACCUUUGCGACUGUCAGUAUUCAGAAAUAGAUCCACAUCCAAAUCUUUAACCACGGAGAGUAAUUAAAAUCCAAAAUAAUCUCUGCUGAAGUAACUUGCCAAUAUCUUUCUCCAUUUAAGUGCCUCUUGAAUAUGAAAGUAAGAGUUCACUAAGAGAGAACCUUCAAUCUCUUCAAAUAAUCACUACUCUGAUACCAAAUUGUAUCUUCCUUUCCCUGAAUUGGUUAUGUGACUUGAAAUUGAAAUAAUCAGAAAUAAGAAAUUUCAGAAUAAAUCUGCAAUCUUCUCCUUUUCUAACCUAUUCUGUCUAUAAAAGUUUGGGCUCAUUAAGAGAUGACCCAGCACUCUCUUUGAGGAACAAAGAUACUUAAAUUUUCUAAAAUUAUGCUUACCCUUUUAUUUCUUUUUGAACUGAUUAUAAAUAUACACAUUCUAGGACAAGAUGAGGGCAUACAACUGCACGUAAAGAGUUGGCAACUUCCCUUUACUGAACUAACCAAUUCCCACAUACAAGGAAAACAAAAACUGUUCAUGCACCAGCUGUCUAUCAAGUUAUUCAUGUGUGAAUAUCCUAACAAAAAUUCUGUCAACUACUAUUUUACUUUUAUUGUACACCGUAACAGUUUUGCUCGUAGUCUAGAGACAAUAAAGUUUGAUGGUUUUGUCUGAAUGAUGUAGACCAAGGGCUAUACUUGAUAUCAUCAAAUCAGGCGAGAAUUUCAGAAUUUCUACAUAUACAAAGAUGCCAGAGCAGGGAACCUGUGAACGAUGUGGCUACAUUUCUAGCCAGGUAAAUCUUGCUUAGUUCAUGUGAGCCUUCUUUGACGCAUUCCAAAUUUGACAGACAUGAAUGAUGGACAAGCGUAUUGCUUUAUUAACAUUCGUUGUGCAGAAGUGGUGUAAAGCCUGUGUUUUAUUGGAGGGACUAAACCGGGGUUUGCCAAGGAUGGGCAUUGGGCGUACUCGAGGCGUCAAUGAUGAGCAGAAGGAUAUGAAACAGAGUAGUAUAAAAAGUAUUGAGAGCAAACAAUGUGGAAGUUUGGACUUCUAGUGUUGAAUGAGUGCAGUUAUACUUUGCUUGCCGGAAAUGAUGGGGCAAAAAUAUGCUCGGUUUGGAUUGAGGGCUGAAAUUAAAUUUCAUUUUCAUAUUUGCCACUGAAUAUUUUUUGACACCAUAGGGGGAUUACAGCAUUCUAUUGCUCCCACAAAGAAGAGGAAAGACUAAGGAAGAGUAGUAGAGGCACCAUAUAAUUUGGUGCCUUGUUGUAAUGCUUAUCGUUCUUGCUCGAAAUUUUCCGAGAUCUGUUUUUAGCAAAUUUGUACUCUGAGUUUUAUCUUAUAACUGCUUUUAGAACUGUUUUAUGUUUUUAUAUAAUGAUAUGUCAAAUUCCGAAGUAGAAAGAAAAAUAACUUUAAGAUCUUGGAUACUGUAAAAUAACUAAAUAUUAAGCUGUUAAUACUUACAUAGUUUAAACUAAAAUAAAAUCAGAAGUAUGUUUUCCCCAUUUUUAAACGGUAGAAAGGUAUUUCAGUUUCCAAAAUUGCAUCUUAUGUUUGUAUUUGUUUCCUACCGCGGGAGCAGCUGUGUUGGGCCUUAAAACGCACCGGUUUAUGUUUCAUUUUGUCUCGUCAUCUACGACUCUCACCAUUUGAGGAUCUUCCGCAACCAAACAUAGUCUCCGUCGCUCCUAACUUACGCCCGAUGGCCUCCUCCGCUUCACCGAGCUCGGCCACGUCCGCCCAAAACCCUAAAAAGACUCUAGGGUUUAUAGCGAAUGCAAUGAAACGCAAAGAUAGCUUCAUUCAGUUCUUCGCAAUGACGGGGAUAUUGCUUUUGAGCAUCAGAUCGUUGGGUCAAAAGUAUCGUAUUCACGACCUCGAAGAAGACACGUUAGCCCUUAAGGAGGAGCGACAAACUCUAGCCGACCGCAUGAAGCACAUCAAGACCGGCCUGCUUCACGAAGCUUCCCUUGAUCCUACUGGCCUCUUCGCUUCUCGGCUCCGCCUUCUCUUCGGUGGCGACGAUUGACUGAUUGAUUACCCAAGUGAGAUUAGGGUUUUUUUCGGAUGUUUUUGUGUUUCUUUAGUAAUAACAAAUCUGGAACAAUAUUCACAUGGUUUUGCAUGAUCUCGAUAUGCACAGAAUUGAACAAAUACGAAGAUGGGUUACUUGAUCGACCUUUACUCUUUAGUCUCUUACCUCGUUUAAGGUUCUCUAUCUAUUUUGUCUCUUCCUCUUCGUUUGUGUAUUCUGCUCCUCUGGGUUUCGUCUUCUGUAGCAAUUUGGAUUACGCAUUUCGAUCUCGUGUUUGGAUUCAGUGUUAAUGCGACUCUAAUAGGGAUUUGCAUGUCCCAUUAGUUACUGUUAAUGCAUUUGUGCAUAUUACAGGCGUGACAUUUUUAGGUUAACAGCUCAGGACUAGACUAUAACUUCCUUUUUCUUUUUUCUGAUUAUGCUUAUAUAUCGAUCAUUUUGUGGAUUUCUUCAUCGCCCUGCUGCUUGAUCAUUUCUGUUUUUGUCGGGACGUUUUUAGUUCAGCUAUUAGUUUGUGCUCUACUUCAAUCAGAAUCUCACUAGCUCCUUGGAACCCGAUGAACAGGUUUUAGGUCUAUCUUGUGUUCAUGGUUUUUCCUUGAUCUUUUAUGUUUUUCUUUUGUUGGAAGUAUUCUUGAUCUUUUAUGCUUUUUGCUGUUAGAAUGGCAUUGGAUGAGACCUAAAACAGCAUUAUUACGGGCUGAGUGGUUUGUGUGAGGAGAAAGGAUCGUGGAGAAUAUAGAUUUACAAAAAUUACAUGAUCAGCUGAAAAUUGUGAUACUGACAGGUGCGUAAAAUAGUUGAUUGAUUAGCUGGGAUUUUUAUCAUGGAACGAAAAUUUUUCAUGGUAGCUAUGAUGGCAAUUCGUGCUUGCAAGGCUUCCCUUGCCUUCUUGGGUGAACAAGCAGUGGAUCUUGCAAUUCGGUUGAUACCCUUUUACCUCGAGUGCUGGUACAUGACUUUCCAUCUCCUACUCUGUUGUGUAUUUACAUUAUUUUUCUGCACCCCCUCCUACCUAGUAGCUGAAUGCUGAGAUCCUUGCACUAAAGUGGUCUGAGUGUUGUGAUCAGCUAGUAGUAGCCUGUUAAGAGAAUGAGGCUUUAUCGGAUAAUGGUAGUCAUGUUCGUAGGCUCGAACGUCAAAAUCAAUUAUGCUUAAUACUUUAGACCGGAGGAUUUUAUAGAAGAAAGAGGCCCGAUGAGACAUCUUAUAAACCAAAAUUUCACUUGGUCCUUUGUUAAGUGAGACUAGUAGUGUUCGGGUUGAAGUUGAAUUUAGAGCAGUUUGAAUUCUUCUUUUGAAGUUUUUACCACCUUUUGCUCAGCUUAUGAACAAAGAAGCUGUGUUUGAUUCCGUGAAAAGGAGCAUUUACUUUUAAUACUUUUCCAAUCCCAUUGGAUUAAAAUGAGAAAUGAAGAUCUGAAAUUCUCCCUUGCAGAUUCUAUGUAGAUCCUCAUUCUUCCUUGUUAAGUGUUUGUGAGAUUGGAUGCAGCCAUGAAUUGAGUUGGGAACUCCAGACAAUUGUUCUUCUCGUAAAGGACAUUUGUGUUGUUUAGACAAGGAUGAAACCUGGAACUAAUCUGUGUGGACUUGCACCUCCAACAAGCAAGACUGAUAGAUUUCCGAAAUUUUAGCAGAUUAUAACCAAAAAAAUUAGAGACUGGCCCCAGUUUUUAUUCUUUUUAAUUAUUUCCAUUACUAUUAUUAUUGUAUAGAUUUUCCACGUUCUGGGUUGUCAUCUACUUUCUGCCAUAAAAAGUGGAGACAAUUGACCUGGCGAGGUUGAUCUGUUGCUUUCUUUUCUAUUAAUUAAUUAAUUAAUUAAUUAACCAACUAAUCAAUCAAUUAAUAUUUUUAUUUACAAUUUUACCCUUAUGAAGUAACUACUAAUAUCUAACAUCUAAAAUUUUCAUAUUCAAUUACUCGUGACAUGUAUAUUAGGAGGGAAAAAGGUGGCAAAAGUGAUUUUGGACUUUCUUAAAAGCAAUAUGUAUAUAUAUGUGUGUGUAUAUGUAUGUAUAUAUGGUUGUAAUCAUUUGAGAAUUGUGGGUGCUGAGAUGGAAGGAUGAUGAUUCAAAUAUAAUUGACGUAAUGUUAAAGAUUGAUUAUGGGUUUGUUGCUUCCAGUUCAUUUCUUAAUAGGAAAAAGGAAUUUAAUACAAACACUAAGAAUUUUAACAUAAAGUUUGAGAAAUAGUCAAAUUGUAUGAAGUUACAUUCGUGUGUGUGGGUGUGUCGGAUAGGUCACCACUGACCACCGCAGUCAAACCUUCACAAGCUGCCAAUGUCAAUGUCUCACUGCCUUACCAAAAUGCAUGUGACUUCUUUUAUUAUUAUUAUUAUUAUUAUUGUUAUAUGGGUGAUAAAUAAAAGUCUUGGAACCAUUCAUGUGCAUUUGAAGACACCUUUUUUUAAAAAAAAAAAAAAAAAAAAAUUGUCUUUUGGAAGAUCUAAGACCUAAGAUUCAUCACACACCUUAAUCCAUGUUAGGUUUUUAUUAUUAUUAUUUAAAAUAUAAUGAUUUUAGUCGUAACUUAUAGUAAUAUAUAUAUAUAUAUAUAUUUAUGAAAUAUUACGUGAGUUAUUAAUGAAAUAAAUUAAAGUGAAAUGAGAAAUCAAAUCAAUUUGGUGAGAUGGAAUGAUUGAUGGUGGAACACCCAAAAUGGAAAGAGAGAGAAAAUAAAAAGCAAAAGCCAAAGGGCAUGCACUAAUUAAUAUCGCCCCCCACCCACAAAAGUAACCCAAGUGCUUUCACCCUAAUUAAUAUCUUAUAUUAUAUUGUAUUAAUAUUAUGUAACAAAAUAUUUUACAAUCAUUAAUAUGUUGUUUAAAUGGUUAACUUAUCAUUCUAUAAUUGUACUAUGAAUUAUUAAUGAUCGAUGUAUAAUAUGCAAUAAUAUAUUAUUCAACGAAAUAAAAUAUUUAAUUUAUUAGUGCAUAAGUGAACUUAUUAUAAUAAAAUUUAGAUCAAUUCUAAUAAAUCAUAACAUAUUCAAGUAAAAAAUAAUAUUCGCGAUUAGAUUUUCGUUGUUGUUGCGUUAAACAUAAUAUAGUGAAAACUCAAAUUUAAUUAUUGAGAGAUAAAAAAAAAAACAAAGUAUUUUAUGAAAGUUAAAGAAUGAUAUCUAUCCACCCGAGUUCAACUUUUAAGUUAACGAACAAUAAACUCUUAGUUUUUUUUAUACUUCCUUAACAUAUCUUCUACGUUAUCAAAAAAUAUAAAAAAAAAUAUAUUUAUAGUACUUACACCUCUUUAUUCACGUUUGACCCACCUUAGCUUGUAGCUAUAGAUGUUACCCAUUUAUAAUCCUUUAAUGUGAUAUGGAGAGACUUCAAUUUCACUUAUACUCAAGAUAGAGUAGGGUCAUAACUAUAUAUUUCAAUGUACACAUAUCUUAUAUUUUUAUAAUAACUUAAUUUGUUAUCAUCUUAAAUAGAAUUAGUUCAUGCUUUAUUUAGUUUUAAUAUAUUUAAAUUCGACUAAUCUUAAUUGUACAUAAUUUAUUAAGAGGUCACCCGUUUUAAUACUAUUCUUGCUUAAAUACGUUUUUAACUGCGAAGUUCUGAUGGAAUAAAAUGCAUUAAAAGCUGUUAUAAUUGCACCAAACUAAUCUUAAUUAAUUAUUAUAAACAGCCAUUGUAUGUGGAUUAAAGUAAAAGGCCAAGAAAUUUUGAAAAAUAAAUUUCACAUGCAUUUGUAGUGCGUCAAGCCAAAACCGAAAAAAAUAUACAAUCACUUCGCUCCAUGUGGGAGACAGACACGCACAGUUCAUAUAGUAAAGGUUCGAACCCGGACCCCACCACCGACACUCUACUCUUUCGUCCCAAAAAAAAACAAAAAGAAAUUUUCCCUCUUCUUUUUGAUUCUGCUUGCGGCUUGGAAAUUUACACAGGGAUCACAUCUCUCUCUGUACACCACUUAAAUGUCGGCCAUACCCUUCAUCAUUUUACUAGAUCUCCCUUCUUCCCCUUUUUAAAACCUACUGAUCUCUUCGACUUCUUUUUAAUUCUCUCUCUCUCUUUUCACUAAUUGGUUUGAAAAUGCCGCUAAACUCGGCGGUGGUGUGCGCUUUUCUUUCCCUUCUCGCCAUUGCUGCGGCUGAAGAUCCCUACAGAUUCUUCUCCUGGAAUGUUACUUACGGAGACAUAUGGCCACUUGGUGUUCGCCAACAGGUUUGCCGAAAUUUCUCGUUCGACUUUUCCUAACUCCUCUUCCGCUGGUAUCUGAUUUAAUCUGAUUCAAAUCGUGUUUCAGGGUAUACUCAUCAAUGGUCAAUUUCCAGGCCCAGACAUCCACUCUGUUACCAAUGAUAAUCUCAUCAUCAACGUAUUUAACAGUCUCGACGAGCCUUUUCUCCUUUCCUGGUAUCAUCCCUCCCUCCCUUUAUUAUUCCACUCAUCUUAGCCCAUUUUUAAUUCAUAAAUUGUGGGAGAUCUGUUCAACUAUGCAUUAUUCACGUCGAUGAACGAACAUAGAUUGGUGUUCAUAUAUUUUUAGGAUUUUGUAUAAGAUCGUUGUUUCGUCAUAUCAAGAGAAUAUCGUAUGCAGUUUCUAGAUAAUAAUCUGAAAACCAAGCUUACACCAAAGAUACAGUAGAUGAUCAAAUUAGCAUAUUCAAAAACAGAGAAAACGAAAACUGCAGUUACCAUUUACUAAUAUUAGUAGUACAGUUCGCGUGGCAAAAUACGUCAACGACUAGCUUUCCCUCUUUACGCCACAGAAGAUUAUGCGCAGUGAUUAGCUCGCCUCGAUUGAAAAGACAAAUAUACCCUCAUGAGUCAAUUGUCGUUUUGCUUUCUGGUGAAGGGACAUAUUUGGAAUUUGGACAUGGAAAUAAUUAUGUAAAGGCAGGACAGGGCAGGGCAAGCUCAUCUUACUUUACACGCCAAGCAUGUGAAUAAAUUUGAUCAUUGGAGAGAAUGUCACUUGUCAUACCCUCGUCAUUUUCAAUUUCUCUUUCCUCUUUCCUGUUUUUUUUCUGUAAAAAAUUCUCUGUUAACAUGUGAACCUUUAGUGAGAGGAGACCCCCCAUGUGCUUAUUACCAGAAGACGUGGAAGAAUAGAUCGGAAAUCUGUCGUCGUCGUUUCAUUUAUUCUAAUGGUGCCGUUCUACACGUUUGAUUCGCUGGAUAGGGUUAGUUAAAUCAUGAGAUGAUAACUAUACAAUAGACUAGUUGGUAUGGUAGUAGUUGGCAUACUGUAAGUAGGAAGUGAUUCAUCUAAUCAAUCAGUACAACAAUUAACGAUUUUUGCAUUUUCUUUUGAAGAAGAAGUUCGCAUUAAUUGGAGUGUCUAGUGUCUGGCAAGCUACGUAAUCUUAAACCUACUUGACAUGUGGAUGGGGUCCCUUCACUUUUCCAAUUAGCUGUCUUCCACUCCAAUGGCGCAUGUGCCAAAAUACGUAUGAAGGUGAUAGGAUUCUAUCAACCCAGCAGUUCGUGCGCCCAUGAAUCAAUCAUACUUUUACUAAAUUUAUAGUUACUAGUUAAAUUAAUGGAUAUACAAAGAGAAUUUGAAGGUUCGGCAUUUUAUGUCCCUAUAGAUGAAAAUUACUUUUUAUAUUUUUGACACUUUUAAGUUAUUCGAUUUACUUCUUGUUGAUCUCUUUGUGGUAAUUUAUUGUUAGGAGUGGGAUUCAGAACAGAAGGAAUUCAUAUGAAGAUGGAGUGUACGGAACGACGUGUCCAAUUCCGCCGGGGAAGAACUUCACUUAUAUUCUCCAAGUGAAGGAUCAAAUAGGAAGUUUCUUCUACUUCCCGUCUCUUGCAUUCCACAAAGCUGCUGGUGGUUUUGGAGGGAUUAGGAUCCUGAGCAGACCGCGUAUCCCUGUUCCCUUUCCGGACCCAUCUGGCGACUGGACAGUUUUGAUUGGGGACUGGUACAAGUCCAAUCACACGGUAACCUCAACGAUUUUUGCUUCUCGCACAUUUAUUCAUCUUUUUCAUGUUCUCGCUUUCUAAUUUCUUUAGCUUCUCGCUGCCAUUCAAACUGGUUUGAAAACUGAAAAGUUGGGUUGUCCUUGUCCUGAUAUAUUGUCGUCUAUAAACUUUAUUUCUCCUCAUAUUAGUUAAUUGUUGUAAGCAAGCAACCUGCAACCAGGCCCUUCUUCUGUAAAUUUGGCUAUUUUAUGCCAUUGAAUCUCGGGCUCUGGCAAUGGACAGCUGGGUUGUCCUGAUAUAUCACUCUCUUUAGCCAACAGUUCAUGAUACCAUAGCCUACCAGCUGGGUCGAUAGUUUUCCGUGUCCUUUUGUCUUCUCGUAAUGCAUUUGGGUUUCUUUUUUCUUUACUGAAAUGCACGACUGCAUUGGACAGUGGCGAGUGCCGCCAAGAAAUGUCACUAGAUAGAUUCUUGGUACGGGUGCCUGGUGAUAAAAUAUGCACAGCCACCUACACUGUUAUGCUUAUAUACGAUUUCUUUUUGCCAAAUACUGGCCCAAAUCUGUUGUCAUAGGUUCGUGCUCAAGCAUUUUUUUCCCAUAAGACUACAUAUCUGGGCCUAUAUGUCUAACCCAGUGAGUAGGAAACAGUGGAUCCCACUGUUCAAAAAGGCCGAAGGUAGUGUUCUGUUGACAGUGAACCCAUCAAUUCAUGUGCAAUGCGUAUGGCGCCCCUUCCCCCCUUAAGUCUCUUAAACAGGCAUGUGCAUUCAAUUUUCCUUGACCCAUACAAACACACUUGUACCCACCCAUAUCCGGCACCUGUUUGUUCAUUAAAAAAGUUCAUCAAUUGUCUAGUUGGAAAAAUUAACUAAAUGAUAAUUUCUUUCGGACCUUGUGCGUGACCCAUCAAGAAAAAAAUAUAGAGAAAAGAAAUAUGUUGAUGCUUAAUUAGUUGUGGGCCACAUUACUGAUAGCAUGAAAUAAUUUGUUUGUGCAGGAUUUGAAGGCUCAUCUUGACAGUGGUAAGAAGCUGCCUUUCCCAGAUGCAAUCCUUAUCAACGGUCGCGGUAGUGGUGCUGCUUUCACUGUUGAACAAGGUGCGUGAUUGUCGGCAAUCUACUUCUAACAUUAUCUGCUAUUAUAUGACCGCUCUAAAAAGAAUUAGCACGUUUCUCAUUUAUAUUACAGUUGUACUUAGCUAGAAGAUAAUAUUUCUCUGAAGUAUAAUGUGAUCAAAUAGUUGUUUCCAGUUCUUUCAAUGCGUGUUUGCACGACAAUCUCUUCUGAUUAUCUACUUCUGGUACAGGGAAAACUUACAGGUUUAGAGUAUCAAAUGUUGGGUUGCAAAACUCACUCAACUUCCGCAUUCAAAACCACAAACUGAAAUUGGUAGAAGUGGAGGGGACACACACACUCCAAACUACCUACUCUUCAUUUGAUCUUCAUGUUGGUCAAUCUGCCUCAUUUCUAUUAACAGCUGACCAGCCUGCACAAGACUACUAUAUUGUGGUCUCCAGUCGAUUUACCGACACAAUCCUCACAACUACAGGCACUCUUCAUUAUAGUAACUCUGCCGGCGCAGUCUCCGGUCCAAUCCCAGGUGGACCUACCAUUCAAAUUGAUUGGUCUCUGAACCAGGCCCGCUCUAUUAGGUACAUAUAUAUCAUCGUUGAUCAGACGGAGAUUGGUGUACAGGAAAUAACUAAGAAUUCGUACUUAAAUAUUUUUUGUGUUAUUUCAGGACCAACCUCACAGCUAGUGGACCAAGACCGAACCCCCAGGGUUCUUACCAUUAUGGUCUCAUAAACACAACCCGGACAAUCAAGUUGGCCAGCUCUGCUGGACAAAUCAAUGGCAAGCAAAGAUAUGCAAUUAACAGUGUGUCCUUUAUCCCAGCAGACACUCCGCUAAAACUUGCUGACUUCUUCCAGAUUAGUGGCGUUUACCGGGUUGGAAGCAUCUCUGACCACCCAACAGGCGGAGGAAUGUAUUUGGACACCUCAGUUAUGCAGGCUGACUAUAGAGCUUUUAUAGAAAUUGUUUUCCAGAACGACGAGGACAUCGUUCAAAGCUAUCACCUCGAUGGCUACUCCUUCUUCGUUGUCGGGUAAGCGCACGAGUAAUACUAUGAAUCCUUACUCAAAGAAUUGAGUUUGUGAUUGAAACCUGAGUAAUUUUGAAAUGUAGUAUGGAUGGUGGGCAAUGGACACCUGAUAGUAGGAACGGGUACAAUCUCCGCGAUGCAGUUUCGCGAUGCACGACUCAGGUGAGACCCAAAUAAUCCCUUACGGCUAAAUCAAUAGAGCUUCGUGCUAUCUUGACUACAAGACAAAAUUAAGGGAAUUGUUAAUGCUUAACAAAUGUUGGUGCAGGUAUAUCCCAAGUCAUGGACUGCUAUUUACGUGGCGCUGGAUAAUGUAGGAAUGUGGAACUUAAGGUCUGAGUUUUGGGCCAGACAAUACCUCGGACAACAAUUCUAUUUGCGUGUUUAUACAACAUCAACUUCUCUAAGGGAUGAGUACCCCAUUCCAAAGAAUGCUCUUCUAUGUGGUAGGGCAAGCGGGCGACGCACACGACCCCUGUGACCUAUAAUAGAUGUGUAAGAGGUCCCCCCUUUAAGCCUGGUUCGACGAAGAGAGGAGAAGAGAAGGGCAGUGGAGAAGAGGGUUUUUCUUUGGGGAUUCUAAUAUCAAAUUCCUAUACGUAUAUGAGGUGAAUGACCUCAGCUCGAGGUCACAUUCUUUUUCUCUGGAAGAUUGUAUUCUUAAUUAUUGGUAUUGUUUAAGUAAAACAUAGCCCUGUGAUAAUUAUCUCAAGUGAUGUUACUGGGAGGUUUGGUGGGCUCAUAAUCUUUUGAUCCCAUGAACGGUUUGAAGUUUCUACCAAGACCUUGCAUUUUCAACUUGUCGUGCAUUUGCAUUACAUGAAUAAUAGUCAAAUUUUGGUGAGGUUAAAAAUGGUUAGCGAAUAGUUUUAAUUGAAAUUUCUAAAUUCAUGUCAAUUACGAUGCAACUCGGUGGUUGAUCUUAUGAUUGUUUUUAUUCAAUUAUGUGAAUUUUACUAGUUUGUUUCAAAGGUUUAAAAAAAAGAAUUAUAAAAUUUAUAUAAAAUUAUGAUAUAUAUAUAUAUGUUUUAUCAUUAUAUUAUAUUGCUACAUGAAAACGUGACUGAAACGAAGAGAGCCGUACAAUAAAAAAAUAAAAAAUAUUAAAUUAUAAAAAAAAUAUCGUAAUUGUGUAUUUUUAUAUUUAAGUAAUCUUAUUUUUAAAAAUAAACAAAUACAAAAUAUUAUUAAAUGCAAAAUUUUUAUAGUAUUUUCUAUCCGAUAGUAAAUUUAUUUAAUCUUAAAUAUUAUUUAUUAUUAUUAUUAUUGGUUGUACUAAUGGAGCUUAUAAUGUUUGGAGAAUUCGGGAGACUUCGUAUUGGAUAGUUCUUAAAAAAUUAUCUAAUAAAUAAAUAGUGAUAGUUUAAUAUUGAUUUUCAUUUUUCAUUUUUUUUUUUUUUGUGUGCGUGCGUGCGCGUGUGUAUUUAUGGCCCACAUAACUGCUUCCGAUCACAGCCGUCCAUCUUGAUUGUCCGGGAUGAUGUCCUUUUGUCUACGAAAGUCGCACUAUCUUGAGCGUAGAAUCCAUCAACGGUAAUAAGCACUACUACCCUACACCGUAUCACGGGAACAUACUUGCAAACAGCACCAUAUUACUCGUUCUCUUUUUAAAGAGCGACGCUGCAACAAGGUUUCGGCGGGAUCCAGGUCUGGACAUCUCUUCAUAGAUCGUCUCUCUCUCUCUCUCUCUCUUAAUAUCAGGUAUUAGCCUAGUGUCAUUUGCCUUACUUUAGGUUCCUAAAAGUUAGGGUUUUUAGUCCUUUUUCAGUUUCUAUUGGUUGUUUAGGUUAUACUGAUCGUCUCUCUCUCGAUAUUGUUUGUGCCGAGAGCGUUUAGGGUUUCUCUCUCUCUCUCUCUCUUCUUUUUUCUUGUAUGGAAUUGAUAUUUAAUUGGUUAUCUUGUAUUAAAUGCAUUUCCGUGAUUGGUUAUUUUGUUUUAGAGUUGCAUCUGAGCAUUCAGGUUCCAGUUACCCUUCCAGAC
This 68920-nucleotide long non-coding RNA is filed under the name Carica papaya (papaya). Its description in RNAcentral is "long non-coding RNA (CPAP_LNC010568)". The record is from RNAcentral. Lineage: Eukaryota; Viridiplantae; Streptophyta; Magnoliopsida; Brassicales; Caricaceae.